GCCCACUCAAAUAAAAGCCAUUUUGCAUAAAAGCCCCUCAACUUUCCCUCCUGUGCACUGCCCUCACUAGGCAGUUUUCGCGCGGAGGGACCGGUCUCCCCGACUUGGGACCGGUCCCCGAGAGCUUCCCUCGGGCGCACGCGUUCGGGAACCGGUCUCUCCCCGGGAGACCGGUCCUCGGGAGACCGGUCCUCACCUGAGAGACCGGUCCCCAAGAGCUUGAUUUUCAGGACUUAGCCAAUUUUUGGCAUCUCUCGCUGGGACCACGUUCGGGAACCGGUCCCCCCCUACCAGGGACCGGUUGCGUCAUGCAACCCCGCUACAACAAGCCAGGGGAACCGGUCUCUUACUUGCAGAGACCGGUCCCCGAGAGCAACAUCAGCCCAAUGAUGCAAUUUGCCUCAUUUGCUCUCGCGGACUCAACUCCAAGGCACUUUUUGUGCUUUGGACAUUCCCAACUCCCACAAAGGGUAUACUUUUGACAAUUAGUCGAUCCUGGAUGAAGUACAAUCCUCAUAUUUCGAGAAUUCACUUCCUUACAUUACUUUUGUUUAGGUAGUUUUCUCUCUUUUGUGUUUUGUUGAGAGAGAGAGAGAUUUUGUAUCCAUGUAUAAAGACCACCUCUGUAUUACCUUCAGUUUAUGUACUCGGGUUUUGUUAUUGUACUACCUUAUGGUUUUAUUUAGUGGAUCUAGCUCUUUACUUAUUUUCUUUUCCUUGUCAUAGAUACUAGAUGUUGUAUACUCUGAUAUCUCUAGAUCUCUUCGUGUUGUUGCUUUAUUUAUUACCUUAUUGUAGACGCCUUAUAUAUUUUAGACGUAUGGCGGGUCUGGACACGCGCCGGGCGGGCUUCCGCUGUGUCCCGGGGCGUGACAGAUCAUGUCUAUGAUGUUCAUAAUGCUACAAUAAGUGACGAUACAUCUCAUUACUAUUCUAACCAUACAUUAUGCCAAUCAAUAUAAGUGUAACAUACUACCACUAGGGUGUCAAUGCUAACAAUGACUAACAUAAGGUCCACAUAUGCACUAUCAUGCAUAUCCACUAGUCCAACUGAUAUAAAUCAUCUAGUAGUAGUUUUCACAUUACACUUUAGGUUUCGUAGUUCAAUCCUCAUCAUGGAUCUACACAUGUGUAGUCCGGCUUGUGCCGUGCCAAAAAUGGCCCCGUAGUAGUCAACAUUCCCACUCUAGGAAUGAGCCUCCCCCACGGCAUCCCAUUUCAGCGCCCAAUCCCGCACGGGCGAGCUUGUGUCACAUAGGCUAUCUCCGGAGUGCCACCUUGUGGGGAGCGACCCUCACAAGAAUGUGUGAAUGAGCACAAAGGCAAGCAAGCGUGAUCAAUAGUAUCCAACUCUCGGUCAUCAUGUCUAAAAUAUGGAAUAAGUGGCAAUGACCCUAAAGGUCCCAUAUAGUAUUACGAUGUCAAGGUUUAUCAUUUAUUAACCCAAAUGUCACUACAUGACGUUCAUGAUUACUAUGUCAAGUAACAGUCACUAGUUCAAAUGCACACAACCAUUGCCAUUAUCCUAUCUAGGGUAGUUCACUUUUGUCCAAGUCUCAAUGAGAGUUCACACUUAGUCUAUUCCACUAAAGCUAAGGAAGUCACUUUCUUAUGGUGUAUGCAUAGUUACCACUAAUUAUUUAUAAUGCUCAUGAUGCAAGCCAUGCACAUAUAUCUUCCUACCCAUACCUCCACCUUAUGGAGUAAUAACAAUUAUGCGAGUGCUUUCAUUCAAUAAUGCCAUAUGCAAAUAUUCAACUAGAAUGAAUGUUCCAACUUGGUUUCUUAUAGAUCUUACAUGUACUACGUUACCAUGCCCCAACUACUUGCCUACAACAAGUGUGAUAUUGUCAUGCAAAUAUAUGCUAAGUCUCAUUCAUGCACAUGUCUAAGUCAUGUAGUUAUGCUAUCAAUCUCAAGGUCAACACCGUGUUAGUUACUAGGUCACAAUACCCUAUUUUCUUGUCUACACAAGUAUAUUAUUUAAUAUGUAAGAUGAUCACUUUACUAAACCGAUAAGUCGAGAUCCCCUAAGGGUCAUACCAUCAUUCAUGCUCUAACAUGCUUUCUAAGGUUGCAUAAAAGAGAAUUCACCAAAUAGGGCUAAUUCAUGCACAAGCUCACAUAAGAGAUUCUACUACAUAGAGCAUCAAAUUGUCUUUACAUAGCAUAUAUGUAAUGUUUCUCAUAAAUUAUCGCAUGUCAUUUUGAGUAUAAAAAACCAUUUAAUUGGAUCUUAAAACUAAAAGGAGGUUUAGGGGGGAGUUCACCUAUUUUGGUGAGAUCAAACCCAUCGGAAAUACUUCGAACUCUUUCGUAACGCCGAACGAAGUUGUCCCCUAAGAUUCUAGCACCCUAAGAAAAAUUCCAAAGGGGUUAAAAGUUACAAAACAACUACUUCAAAAAUUACACAUACAAGGUGUAAAAUAUACCUUGAGUCAAGAAGAACUUGAUCAAAGCCGAAAUCGAAGCUUGAAAAUUUCAAAUCCAAACUAUAAGAGUGUUCUACACUCAUCAAUUCCAACCCUAAAGCCUCAAAUCAAGAAACCCAAAAUAAAAUUCUAGAUUUCUCAUUUCUAGGUUUUAUCUCAAAAAUUCCACUAAAUCAAGAAUCAAAAUAGGGAAACAUGUUUCUAACCUAUCUAAAAGCUUCAAACAAGACUUGGAAUGAGCUAGGGUUGAAGAUCUCUCCUCCAACAAGCUUUUUACCAAGCUCCAAGCCUUCUCCAAAGGUGCAAAGUCCCCAAAAUGCAAAAUAGAGCAAAGAGGGGAGAUCAAAACCUAAAAUCCCAAGCAAAAAGGGAAGAAAAACUAAGGGAAAAAUAGAGUGGAGCUCACCUCUCCCUUUUCUAGUCGCAGCCCAAAAGCCCUUGUCCAAGGGGUGAGGGUGUAUAUAAGUUAUUGCGACAAAAGCGAAAAGAUCCUUCAAAAACUGCCAGACUGCAGUUUACACUGUGUACCGGUUCACGAAAAAGUGUAUCGUUACAAACUACUGUGCGCGCAAACCCGAGCCUCGGGUUGGCGGAAAACAACCCAUCUAUACCGGUACAAUCAUUAAGGUGUAUCGGUACAAAACCCGUUCCGGUACAACCAUUAAGGUGUACCGGUACACUUUCCUGCAGAGACAAACCCGAGAGCAACCCAAUAAUCUUCACUUUGGAGAUAUUAGUGCUAAGUUUAAACCUCGAUUCUCGAAAUACGAGCCAUAGGUCGGAACACUGUCGACGACCCUCCAGAAAGUCUGGAAAAAACUCAGAUCACAAAUCAAACACUCGAACCUCGCAAUUUGCAAAAGUUUAGUGUGUUACAAUUUGGCUAAAGUCCGGAUUACUUUACCGAAGUUUCGGUAUGUUACAUUCUCCACCCCUUAAAAUUAGUUUCGUCCGCGAAACUAACUUAAUUAACAUCUAGAUUUAUACCUUAAUCCAGAUUCUCGAAGAGAUGGGAAUAAUGCUCUCUUAUUGCACUCUCGAGCUCCCAAGUAGCUUCCCGAUCAUCGUGGUUCUUCCAACAAACUUUAACAUAUGAAAUCUCACGGAUUCCUAGUUUUCUUACUUCUCGAUCGAUGAUGUACGUCGGGAACUCUUCAUAAGUCAUAUCCUCUUGAAUCUCGGACGGUUCAAAUGAGAGAAUAUGCUUGGGAUCGUGAAUAUACUUGCGGAGAUUCGAUACAUGAAACACAUCGUGCACUCCCGCAAGCCUCGGUGGUACUGCUAACUUGUAUGCCACCGUGUCAACACGCUCCAAUAUCUCGAACGGUCCAACGUACCGGGGACUUAGUUUUCCACGGACUCCAAACCGUUUAACUCCCCACAUUGGGAUAUUUUUAGGAGUACGCUGUCUCCAACUGCAAACUCUAUAUCCUUUUUUCGCUUGUUGGCAUAGCUCUUUUGCAAGAAUGCGCCGUAGCAAGCCGUUGGCGGGCAAGGCGAACUUUCUUCUCCGCCUCCCGCACCAUAUCUGGGCCAAGAGUAACUCUCUCGCCCACAUCGCUCCAAUGAAUUUGAGAGCGACACUUCUUUCCAUAAAGGGCCUCGAAUGGCGCCAUCGCGAUAUUUCCUUGAUAACUAUUAUUGUACGCGAACUCCGCCAUCGGUAAAUGAUCAUGCCAUCCGCCCUUGUAGUCAAGUACACACGCUCGAAAUAUGUCCUCAAGUAUUUGUAUCAUCCUCUCCGAUCGACCAUCACUUUGAGGAUGAAAUGCCGUACUAAAAUCGAGCCGUGUGCCCAACGCAUCCUGUAGGCUCCUCCAGAAGUGAGAUAUGACCCUCGGGUCUCGAUCCGAUAUAAUAGACACGGGAACCCCAUGAAGUCUCACUACCUCGUCGAGAUAGACUUGAGCCAUCUUAUCUCCCGACCAUGUAGUAUGAAUCUAUAAAAAGUGCGCCGACUUCGUCAAUCGGUCUACUAUCACCCAAAUUGCAUCGUGUCCGCCUUGAGAUCGAGGCAAUCCGGUCACGAAAUCCAUUGUGAUAUUUUUUCAUUUCCAAACGGGUAUAGGUAGGCUUUGCAACUUUCCUACCGGAAACCGGCGCUCCGCCUUGACUUGUUGGCACGUAAGACAUUCUGCUACAAAUUCCCCAAAGUCUUUCUUCAUGCCCGGCCACUAAUAGUAUACUUUCAAAUCUUGAUACAUCUUGGUGCCGCCGGGGUGAAUACUAUAAGGAGAUUGGUGCGCUUCUUGUAUAAUCGCCUUGCGAAUGUCCUCAUUUUUAGGCACACACCAACGAUUUCUAAACCGGAGUGCGCCGUCGGUCCCAAUGCCAAAAUCAUCUACACUACCGCUCUCAACAUCACCCUGCAUCUUUUGGACAUAAGGAUCAGUAGCUUGUAGAUCUUUAAUCUUCUCCAACAAGGUGGGUUGAACCACCAAUGCCGCAAGUGUUGCUGGCAUUCCUGAAGCUACUACCUCAAGACCAAGUCGUUACAUCUCUUUUUGCAAUAAUGGUUGAGGUGUAAUUGCUGAAGCCAAGUUUUCUCACGAUUUUCUACUAAGUGCAUCGACCACGACAUUUGCCUUCCCGGUUGGUAUAAAAUAGUAACGUUGUAAUCCUUUAAUAGCUCUAACCACCGCCGUUGUCGCAUAUUUAACUCCUUUUGGGUGAACAAGUAUUUAAGGCUCUUGUGAUCCGUAUAGAUCUCACAAUGUUCACCGUACAAGUAAUGCCUCCAUAACUUUAGCGCGAAAAUAACCGCCGCUAGCUCAAGGUCAUGAAUCAGGUAGUUCUUUUCAUAAUUCUUCAAUUGGUGCGAAGCAUAAGCUAUAACUCGCCUAUUUUGCAUCAAGACACACCUGAGACCAACAUAGGAAGCAUCACUGUAUACCACAAUACUCUCCCCCGGCGUCGGUAAGGCAAGCACCUGGGUCGAUGUCAAUCUCUUCUUUAAUUCCUCGAAGCUCCGAUCGUAAUCAUCGCUCCAAACAUACUUAACUCCCUUGUGCGUGAGGCGCGUUAGUGGAGUGGUUAUUUUGGCAAACCCCCCCAUGAACCACCGAUAGUAACCCGCAAGUCCAAGAAAGCUACGGACCUCCGCAACACUUGUCGGGCGAGGCCAAUCUUUAAUUGCCUCUACUUUUUUCGGAUCCACCAAAAUGCCAUCACCCGAAAUCACGUGGCCUAGGAAAGUGACUUAUGAAAGCGAAAACUUGCACUUCUUUAAUUUUGCAUAUAGCUUCUAUUUUCGGAGUAUUUCCAACAUGGUCCUCAAAUGCUCCUCGUGUUCUUCCUCACUCCGUGAAUAAACUAACACGUCGUCAAUAAACACCACGACGCACCGGUCUAGCAACGGUCGAAUGACCCGAUUCAUCAAGUCUAUAAAUGCUGCCGGGGCAUUAGUAAGCCCAAACGGCAUAACCAUGAACUCAUAGUGGCCAUACCGCGUACGGUACGCCGUUUUGUGCACGUCCUGGGGCCGUAUCUUCAACUUAUGAUACCCCGACUGUAAGUCGAUCUUUGAGUACACCCUCGACCCUUGCAAUUGAUCGAACAAAUCAUCAAUCCUCGACAACGGGUACUUAUUUUUAAUUGUCACUUUAUUCAACUCGCUGUAAUCCACGCAGAGUCGUCACUUUAUUCAACUCGCGGUAAUCCACGCAGAGUCGAAAUGUGCAAUCCUUCUUCUUUCCAAAUAGCACCAAAGCUCCCCACGGUGACACGCUCGGCCUCACAAAGCUUUUAUCGAGCAAGUCUUGCAAUUGUGCCUUUAGCUCUCUUAGCUCUGUCGGAGCCAUUCUAUACGGAGCCUUCGAAAUUGGCGCCGCCCCGGGAAUCAAAUCAAUAACGAAUUUGAUCUCCCGGUCCGGUGGCAAUCCCGAUAACUCCGCCGAAAAUACAUCCGAAAACUCGCACGACAACUGAAUAUCACUAAGUUCCGGGUGCUCCUUUUGGGCUUCUACCAUUGUCACCAAAUAGGCUUCACAUCCACCCUUAAUCAUUUUUCUCGCCCUCGUCACCGAUACGGUCACCGCGAAGCGUGAGCUUUUACAUGCCUAAUAUACCAACUCUUCCUGAUUAGGCUCACGAAAUGUGAUCACCUUGCUUUUACAAUCUAUCACGGCAUAAUACUUGGAGAGCCAGUUGAUCCCUAAGAUUACAUCGAAUCCCUACAUUCGCUCUAGCACUAGUAGAUCUAUCAGCAUAAUCCAAUCACCGAUCUGUACUGGACAAGCCAAGCACUCAUCAUGAAUAUGAAACGAAUGCUCUGGAGCAUUUACCCACCAAUAAUCCUGAUUAUACGUGAUCUCCAUGCCAUGAGUUUUUGCAAAUGAUGCACCUAUGAACGAAUGUAAUGCACCUGUGUCGAAUAAAGCUCUAGCUCUAGUGCCUUUAAUCAAAAUUAUACCUGCCACGACAUCAUCUGGUGCUACAGGUUGCUCCUCCAUCUGAGUGGCAAAACCCGCCCACUCGGUGCUCUAGAUGUCUCCGGUUGACGCGAUGCAGAUGAGCGUCCAGCCGACAUCGCUGGGGGCAACCCCGCAAGCUAUCUCAGGGUGGAAGGAACUAAUGCCGCUGUCGGUGCAAACGAUCCCCAACUAGGGCACUCCUAGGCCAUAUGCCCCGGUUGAUCGCACUUGUAACACUUUCCUUCACGCUGCGGGCAGGUCGGCGGUCGAUGCUCACCGCCGCAAAUGAGUAGCGUGUGAGGUGGGUUAAUCAUCGGUUUGACUCCUAUGGGUUAUAUAGUCGACAUGUAUUCGGCACGUGUUUUUGCCUAUCGUAAUUGCUCUAUUCAUUGUUCAGCAUGAUUGAAAUAUGAAUUGGAGCUUAGUAUAUUGACUGUAGAUUCAUACAUAUUGGACUUGGAUAUAACAUAGGAGAAAACCAGUGAUUUGGACCUGUCACCUGCUUAACUACCGGAUUUAGCUUUAGGAGCCAUUGUUAUUUUGUAUCGCCGUAGUAUCAGCGUGGUAGAUACCCCAGAUAGUUUAGAUUACUAUUAUGCUCGUGAUGGGAUGCCAAGCCUAUUUUUACAGUAGUGUUUAGACUAUUCCGGAUUGUUGGAUGCUGUCGAGAUUGACGGUGGACCCAGAUUGCCAUUUUAGUAUCAGAUUAUGCUGAAGGCACGUGACUUGUUAGUUGGUAGACUAGUUGGACCCUGUGUACUUGACUAUAGCCUGCGAGAGCCUGAUUGAGCUCGACAGAGAUACGCUUGCAUACUCGGUUGGGUAGCGCCCAUGAGUGCCACUCCGGAGUCGGGCUUAGUGCUUCUGCGUUGAUGUCGAGGUGUCCUGUUUGGACUUGCUAUCCACUGACUGCUUAGUGUGGAGGUAGCUUUAGCUUCGACAGGAGAGACGGGCGUGUUCACAGUCCCUGGGACGGGUAUGAUUACAGUCCCGAGUGAGAUUGGGUCAGGUAUGACAUCUUCUACAGACUGUUAGUGUUAGAGCAUGAUAGUAUAGUGAUUUUUAGUUGUAGAGUUGUUCCAGCAUUAUUUAGUAUCCCACCUACCUUCUGUAGACUUAGUGGGUGGACCGAUGAUGUUGAGGGUGGCACCCACUAAGGACUACAUGUCUUUACAAUAGUUCUCACGCCCAGUUGCUAUUUGCUUUUGCAGAGCCUUCGGUUCCGGCUGCUGCAUCGUCCGAGAUAGAGCGUGGUAAGGGCGUUGCGAGUUAGAGCCCUACCAAACGAGCCGCCGAGUAGCACCAGCUACAGGUAGUUGUAGUUUUUGACUUCCUAUACAUACUGUUGUUGUAUCUCGCUUGGCGAGCUUUUGUUUACCGGAUGUUGUAUGUAUAGUGAACUUUAUUUUUCUAUCUGGUUAUACUUUGGCUAGCAGCUCUGUAGUGUUCCUGAGCUUUGGAUAGGAUUGGCUUCAAUAUUAGUGACUGGUCGACAUCUCUGGAGAGUGUCGAACUAAGUCGGAGUCAAUUCCGCACGAAUUGGAUGCAGAAUUGGACUCGACGCACUCAAUUAAGCAAAACUGGAGUUUUGCCAGUUUCGGGCGCCCAGAACAUUUUUAGGGUCGCCCAGAAACGAGUGUUGAAUUUAACUGAAACUGGAGGCCAAUUCGGAUCCCAUGUUCCGGGUGCCCAGAUGUGGGUCCGGAAAUUCGACAUCGUGAAUAUCGCUUGCUUCGAUGCGUGGCAGGCGGCAGGUGAGUUCCGCCGGAGCCAUUUACGGGCGCAGCACACCGUGAGCAGAGAGUCCGAGGAGCCCGUUUUGUGCAAGCUGGAUGUUCUGGUCGCCCAAAACAUGGUUCCGGGCGCCCAGAAACGCCCGUUUCUGCAGGGACACUGGAUAGCAGCUUCAGUUCCUGAGGCUUUUUGGAUCAUUCUAACUCACUAUAAAUACUUGGUAAACACCCCUUUGCUGCUCUUUUCCCCCCUUCUUCACAGAGAAGUCUCUUUUAGCAUCUCUACCCUCGGAUUUGCCUCAAAUUGCAUUAAACUUCCAUUGAUCCAGCUUGAUGGAGUGCUGAUUCUGUAGUUCUUCAGCGACGACCUCCAGUGUUUUGGCUCGUGCGCGAUGUAGGAAGGUCGGAUUUCGACGAAACUUGGUUUGCUGGAUUCUAGACUUCCAGAGGAAUCUACGAAGCCCUGAAUGGUAGAUUUUGGUUGAGGUUAGCUUGGUCGAACUGAGGUUUUUCUAGACUACUGUUGGCUUUGAGCUGAAAAUAGAAUUUUUGAGCUUUUCUUGAUGCUAUCUUUGUUGGCAGUGGAAUUUUGGACCUGAGUUUGAUCACCCCUCAGUAUUUGCUGAUUUUGGAACUGUUCUCACCUGAUUUGGAGAUCAUUAGGUGAGUUUUGACAUUGGAAUUGAGAAAUCCUAAGCUUAAGGCUAAAAUUGAUGAAUUUUAUUGGAUUUUGGAUGAAUUGUUAUAUCCAGAUCUUGAUGGGCUUUGUUGCUGGUUUGGAGGAGUUUCCAGCAGUGUUGCUUGUGAUCCGAGACCCUCUUGCUGCCAGGAGUUUCACUAGAGGUGGGUUAUCAUCGGUUUCGCUCCUAAGUGCAUGUUUAGUCGACGUGUAUAGUUCGAUUUUUGUAUAUCAUGCUUUAAUUCAUCGAUUAGCAUCUUGAAUGUAAUAUGAAUGUAGAAGCAUGCUGAAAUGAAUAUUUAUAUUAUACAUGUUGGACUUGAAAUUUGACUUAGGAGAAAACCUGCGUUUUGACCCGUCAUAUGUUUAAACUACCAGAUUUAGCUCUAGGAGCCGAGAUUCGAUUGUAUCGUUGCAGUAUUAGUGCGAUGGAUAUCUGGGGUAGUUUAGAAGGCAUUUACGCUCGUGCUGGGAUGCCGAGCUUAUUUUUCAGCAGAGUUUAGGCUGUUUCGGGUCGUUGGGUGCCGUUCGGGUUAGCGGUGGACCCAGAUUCUUGUUUUGGUCACAGAUUGUGCCGAGGGCACGUGGGUUUGGUUUGUAGGCCUGUUUUUACCCUGUUCACUUGACUUUGGCUAAUUGGAGCCUGUUUGAGCUCGACAUAGAUACGCUGCAUACUCGGUUGGGUAGCGCCCACGAGUGCCACUCCGGAGUUAGGCUUUGUGCUUUCGCGUUGGUGUCGCUCAUGCCGGUUGGACUUACUCUCCACGGACCAGUUAGUGUGGAUAGAGCUGGAUAGUCGCAACUCGGCAGGGACGGGUGUGUUCACAGUCCCAGGGACGGGUAUGUCUACAGUCCCGAUUGGAUUGGGUCAGAUUGGACAUUUCCUACAGUUGGUUAGUGUAGAGCAUGAUAGUGUAGUGUUUGAUAGCGGUAGAUUUUAUUCCUGCAUUUACUACUAUUCUUGCUCCCUUCUAUAGACUUAGUGAGUGGACCGAUGUUGUUUUGGGCGGUACCCACUGAGGACUACUUGUUUUUACAGUAGUUCUCACGCCCUGUUGUUACUUCAUUUUUGCAGAGCCAUCGUCUUCGGCUGCUGCUAUUGCUGAUAAGGAUCGAGGCAAGGGCGUCGCGAGUUAGAGCCCUACCCGACGAGCCGAGCUAGGGGUGCCCUACUACAGGUAGUAGUUUUGUUGGAGUUCAUGUACUUACCUACCUUUAACUCGCCAGUGCGAGUAGUUUUUGUGUAUCUUGGAUUUUGGGGUAUGUAUAUGGAACUCAGUUGGUUUUCUCCGUUUCUCCUAACCAGCUCUAUACUACUGUUUGUAGUAUUGUUUGAUUUACAGAUACAGCUAUCGCUUCGUAUACAGGAAAAAUUCCUUUGUAUACGGCGGAUUUGUCGGCGCGCCCGGGGAACGUGUAAUCCGGGGCGUGACAAGCUCUAUACUACUGGUUGUAGGAUUGUAUAUUUUACAGGUACAACUAUCGCUUUGUAUACAGGAGAAAUUUCUUUGUAUACGGCGGAUUUGUCGGCGUGCCCGGAAAAUGAGUAAUCCGGGGCGUGACAAUAUAUAUAUAUAGUAAAGGUACUAUGCUAUCGGAAGUAUAAAUUAGUUGGUACUUUCGAUUUUUUAGCCCUUGGAUCAAAAAUUAUACGGUUGGGAUGAUAGCAGUCCCCUUAGAGUUGAGUGGUCCCCCUAGGGUUGAGCGGUCCUCAUUGGUCAAUAAUAUUAAUCCAAUGGUUAGAAUAAUCAAUGGAGUUGAUCUAAGGGCUAAAAAAUCAGAAGCACCAACUAGUUUAUAUUUUCGAUAGCUUAGUAGCUCUUCUAUAUAUAAAUAUAUAUAUAUAUAGAGAGAGAGAGAGAGAGAGAGAGAGAGUUGAGCUAGAUCUCUAAAGCACAUGAAGGUAGGUGCUUUUGAAAGAGAUAUUUAGUUCAAUAAUAUAUAUAUUUAUUAUAUACUUAUACUUUAUAUAUAUAUAUAUAUAUAUAUACUAUAGUCGUCUCCGAUACUUUCGAACAAGUACGGGAGGCCCGGUGCUUGUAAGUUGUUUUCGAUGACUAGGACCGUUCCGAUUCGCACGAUCGCUCGUUAGGCUCAUGAUCUUCCUAUUGAGAACUAUCUAGAAUCAAUUUAGAUUUUUUUGACAGUAUUUACUAGCCGAUCAAAGAGUCUAAAAUGAUUUUACGGCGUGUGGAAUUUUUAAUGUGUCAACGGCUUGUUAGAGAGUAUCCAAUAUUACAUGAAUUUAAUAAAAAUUUACUUAAUCAAAGUAGCCGAUAUCAUUUCGAUGUAAAUUUGAAUCUUUUAUCACUUUUUUAUGAGAUUUGUUCAUUUUCUAGCGUUCAUUUUUGGUAACUGUUCCUAGACGCACAAACCGAAAUCAAAAAUAUAUGAAUUUGGUUUUCUAGUAGUUCGCUCCAUGGAUGUAAGUUUUAACAACUGAUCGCUGAAUCGAGAACUGUCCACAUUCAACAAGAUUAACAGAACGGGCCACAGCCCAUCCGCGUUACUUUCGACGCAUAGGAGCCUAGCUCUGUUAUUCUCUAUCUUUCUCUCUCUUAUAUUAUAUAUAUAUAUAUACUAGUUAUAGUCAUGUGCAAUGCCCGUCACAUUUAAUUAAAUUAAAGUUAUAUUUAUAUUUUAAAUUUAAAUAAUUAUUGAUAGUAUUAGUCUAUUUAUCAAUUAAUUUUUUUCUAACUUAAAUUUUUUUAAUUUGUAUCCAAAUUUAAAAAUUUGAAGUAAUUCUAAAUUUUAAAUUAAUGAAUUCAUAUUUAAAUUUAUGAACAAAACUCAAAAUUUGAAGUUAAUUUUGAGUCCAUAUUUGAAUAUAAAUGGUUAUAGAGACAUUGAUUUAUUUAACAUCCCAUCUAUUUUUCAAAUUUGAUAUAUUUUUAAGUUAAUUAAUUAUUUUCAAUUUGAAAUACUAUUUACACACCCAAAUAUUGAAAUUUGAAUUAAUUUCAAAUUUUGAAUAAUUUAAAAUUUAAAGUUGAUUUGAUAAACUUAUUUAAAUCAUUCUAUUUUUCAAACUUAAUUUUCUUUUAGUUAGUUAAUUGAGAGAUAGUGAAUACUAAAUAUUUUCAAUGUGAGUUGCGUAGAAUUUUUUUUUGAUGAGUAUGGAAUAUUUUUUUAUGGGGCACUUGUGAAAAAUAUUCAACAGUAGAUAUUUUUAGAUUGACAUAAAGUUGGAUAAGUAUGAAUUUUUUUUAUAUUCUCGUAAAUGAAAUGCAAUAUUUUUUCCUAUUAAAAAAAGGUCUGUCAACAGCUAUUUUAUUAAUAAUCCCAAAUCAAUAUAAAUUUGUGAAUCACAUUUAUUUACAAAUUUAAAAUUUUAAAUUAUAAAUUCUUAUAUUAUAUUUUAUUAAAAAAUAUCUCAUAUUUUAAAUAUUAGUAGAUAAAAUUUAGAUAAUUUUUAUAUAUUCACCUUUAAAAAAAUAUAAUUAAAUAUUAUAUAUGCGGAAGGUAUUAUGUGAUAGGAUAUUAUGUAGGCCGUAUUACGUGUGAGAAAGAAAAUAUUUAAAAAAUUCUUAAAUUGCAAAUAUUAUUUAUGAUAAAAAAUAGAUAUUACGUGGGCUACGGUUAUUAGAAGAUAAGGUGCGCAUAUAAAAUGUAAAAUUCAAUAUGCACUUUUUGAGGGCAAUUCAGAUAAAAAAAGUGACAGAUACUUAAAUCGUCAACUAUUGGAUUAAAUUCGAAGACUAAGAAUUAAUAUAUUUUAUGAUAAUUUAAAAAUAAAAUAUAAAUUGUACGGUUAUGAUUUAUUCUAUUAAACUUGAAUGAAUGAUAUUGCUAGUAUGCGAUUGGAAUUAUAUUAAUAGGGAGCGAUAUUUUGGGAAAGAAAAAAAUUUUAAAACUUGCUCUUUUAUAAGUAGUAUAUAUAUAUAUAAUAUUUACUAAGGAUCUAGGAUACUUUUACAAGCUAUCCAUCCCCAUCUUAUUGCUAUUCAACUUUUUAGCCAUUGGAGUCUACUUUUGUUUACAAAUAGCCCUUGGAUCAAACACUAUUCCACCUACCACCACCCUACCACCUACCUACCACCCAUCUAUCCAACCUUUCACAUCUUCUCCAUCCAAGGCUAAAAACACACAAGUACCACUGGCUGAUACUUGUAACAAGUAUUCUACCCUACUCAUAACUAUAUAUAUAUAUAUACUGCUCUAUAUAUAAUAUGACUACAUACUACGGUAUACUAUGAUAUAUAUAUAUAUAUCAUAUAUAUAUAUAUAUAUAUUAAUUACUAUAUUAUAGAUCACAGUGGGUUUAACGGAGCCCGAUCCGACGAUUUCGAAGUCGCAAGAUCGAAACGAGCCUGGAGCACGGAAGGCUCCAGUGCUUCCGAUCAUAUAUGGUCUCCGUGCUUCCGAUAAUAAUACUAGAUGUAGGUCUACUAUACCUUAUCGUAAGCACGGAGCCUUUCCGUGCGUUCCAGCUCGUUUCGCAUCUUGCGACUUUCCAAUCCGUCCGAUCGGCCUCCCUUACACACUUUGAUCUAGACGUAUUGAAGUACCCUACGAAAUAAAUUUACUGACUUUCUACGAUAUAUUUGCUUACGUGAACGCAAGGGCGCUCAAAAUCAACGGCUACAAAUAAAAAUCCUUACAUAAAAUGUAAUAUGAUGACACUUAAACAUUUUAACAAAGAGGGUCAUUGAUCUUCGUUCUAUACCUACUGUCAAAAAAUUUUUCUAUCAAAAUUUCACGCCGACUUCUGGAUAUCUUUUAACACCCGUUAAAACUUGCAAACGGCUCACCGCGCCAUGCUACAAUUUGUUGAUUUGAGUCCCAUUCGCAUCACUACGGCAAAUGAUCAAUCCGAAAGAAUAAUAAAUUUAUUUUCUAGUACUCCCAAACUACUCUAAAUCAAGCUUUAACGAGCCGAUCCCGACGAAUUCGAAAGUCGCAAGAUCGACAACCGAGCCGCGAAGCACGUAAGGCUCCGUCGCUUCCGAUUAGCAAUAGUAGCCUCACUCUAUACUAUAUACUAUUAUAUAUAUAUAUAUAUAUAUAGUAUUCUAGCCUAUCAAUCUCAACCCAUACCCGCUAGUGCUCGCGGAUUACACGCAAAUUUGCGGGUAUAGACACCAAUUUUUUCAACCUAAAAAAUUACAGAUAAAAAAUUAUGAAACUAUAUUCGUUUAGUGUCAAAUGAAUCCUCUACCAUUUUAGUAGCAAUAGGAAAUUAAUUUGAAAUACACACAAAUAUCCUCGAAGCCCCUAUGGUGGGCAAAACCCAAGCUUUGCUCGACGCGGUACUCAACCACCACCCACCCUCCUUCCCUCUCCUUUUUCCCCGAGUCCAACAAACGUUUUAAAUGUCCCAAUCAAUUCAUCUCUCUCUCUCUCUCCCUCCAUUACCCCGUCCCACCUCUCAUUUCUCCGCUCCAAAAGUUAAUCAUACUCCACACACCUCCAAAAUAAGAACCAUCCACCUCCUACCCCCUUAAUUCCCCUAUAUUUUUAAAGUUCGUCAAGAACCAUCCACCUCCUACCCCCUUAAUUCCCCUAUAUUUUUAAAGUUCGUCUCUCUCUCUCUCUCUCUCUCUCUCUCUCUCUCUCUCUCACUCUAAUUACUUCUUGCGUUAUAAUACGUUAUGCUUGAGUGAGACUAACUCUUUCUUGGCUCCCAUCUUGCUCUCUCCUUUCUCUUUGUGGACUCUUGUACGUAGUGGUUGUGAGCUCCCCCACCAAACAAGCCAAAUAAUCCCGAUCGAGAAGGCACCCAACUCACUACGUACCUCCUCUUCACUUGGGAAGAAGAAAGAGGGGGAGGGGGAGGGGGAGGGAGAGGAGACGGAUCAAGGUGGAAAUGGGCGGCGAGAGGAAGAAUUCGCUUCUUACUCUCGCCGGGCGGGUGCUGAAUUGUGCGGUGAGCUUUGUCGUGUUCUCCGUACUCGACGUUCUCGAUAUAAUCCUCUGCAUUGUCUACAAGCUCAUCGAUUAUGCCGUUGAGGCCGAGUGGAAGCCGUGCUACUGCUCGGCCUCCAAGGACAUGGUUGCCGGCAGCGGCAGCGGCAGCGGAGGCGGGCCAAAGGUGGUGCGGCUCUGCUCGUCGAAGCUCCAGCUGGAGGACGUCUCCGACACGCUGUACGCGCGUCCUUCAGUCGUCAUGGACGCUGCGAGGAAGGCGGGAACCACCGGCAGCGGCGCAUCAGUUGUCGUGAGCCCGGCACCGGCUGCGCCGACGUUCCGGGUCAGCACUGGUGUUGCGGAGAUGAUCCGAGGGAAGAUCGACCGGCAGCGGCCUACGCGGCCGGUGCCCUGCUGGUCCGACUGCUGCUGUAAGAUCUGCAAUUCGUGGAGCACCGCCGCGACCCCUUCCCAGCUUUACGUUCACGUGGAGGGCCCAAGAGGUAAAUGCUGCAUGCCCGAUCGAGUUAGGAUCCGGCCGGUAAAACGCAAACGGUAGUGUAAAUUUUAAAAACCUUACUUUUACCAACUAUAUAUAUAGUCGAUCGGUUUAGAAAUGAAAAAAAAUGCAUAUUGGUACGUAGUUAAUGAUCAAUGAAUUUGUGAUAUAUAUAUAUAUAUAUAUAUAUAUAUAUAUAUUGAAUCGAGAAAUGUGCACGCACAGUAUUGUCAUGCAUCUUUUUAAGUUUUUAAACACGUACUACUAGUCUGUAUAAUUUAAUAUAUUUAUCAAAAAAGAUUAUUGUUCUCAUUUUUAUCGGGCGAAAUAGCUAGUAGAUAAUAAUUUUUAAAAACAUUUUUAAAAGUGAAAAAUUUUAAUUAUUUUUUAAUUUCAUUUCUUAUUGCGAGAUGUAGUAUUUUGGAUGAAAAAAUCAAGCGUCUUAUCUAAAAGUUUACCAGGAGGUCGAACACGGGCAGCGUGCGUAAUGCAUGUGCUUAAUCCAACUAAACUAAAUGACGUCAAUGUUAUACGUACGUACAUUUUAAUUUGAAGAUUAUGUCGUCAUUAAAAUAUUUAUUUGGUGUUCCGGAGGGAAUAUAUAUAUAUAUAUAUAUAUAUAUAUAUGCUACAGAAAUUUUGCUCAUUAAUUAAUUUGCACAGAUGGUACGCAAUCUCGUAAUAUUAUUAUUUUGCGACUAUUAAUUAAAAUUGCCGAUCGACUGAUGAGUGGGCGUGCAUUAACGAAAUUGAGCAGACGGGGCGGCGGUGCCGGCGACGGAGGACGUGGUGUUCAUCCACGGAUUCAUCUCGUCGUCGACGUUCUGGACGGAGACGGUGUUUCCGGCAUUCAGCGAGCUGACAAAGUCGAGGUACCGCCUCUUCGCGAUCGACCUGCUGGGGUUCGGGCGCAGCCCGAAGCCGACGGACUCGCUGUACACUCUGCGGGAGCACCUGGAGAUGAUCGAGAAGUCGGUGCUGAAGCGGUUCGAGAUCGGGAGAUUCCACCUGGUGGCGCACUCGCUGGGGUCGAUCCUGGCCCUGGCGCUGGCGGUGAAGCACCCGGAGGCGGUGCGGUCGCUGACGCUGGUGGCGCCGCCCUACUUCCCGGUGCCCAAGGGGGAGGAGAGGGCGGCCGGGCAGUAUGUGAUGCGGCAGGUGGCGCCGCGGAGGGUGUGGCCGGCCAUCGCGUUCGGGGCGUCGAUGGCGUGCUGGUACGAGCACGUCAGCAGGACCAUCUGCCUGACCAUCUGCAAGCACCACCGCCUGUGGGAUCUGCUCUUCCGACUGCUCACCCGCAACAGGUAUGUAUGUGUGCUCUCAGCCAAUUACACACACCUAGCUAGCACUUAAUUAGCACUUGCCUUGCCUAAUUCCCUUUCCCUUUCCCUUUCCGUUUCCGUUUCCCUUCCUCUAGCUGUGCGUUGUGUUUGCUCUUUCUUCCGUCUCCAACCGUUUCGGUGGCUCCGCUUUUAUUAUUCUCGCCUCGUAUUUAUUCCUUCCCACGUUAUUGGCUUCUCACCCUCUAUUUUGCGCUCCACGUGCCCGGUCCCACAUAAAUAACAACCUGUUUAAUUCGUCCAACACUAGUGCUGCAGGUACACACAAUAUCGACGGAAGAAAAAUGCUACUAGCUAGCUAGCUAUAUAAGGUUAGAAUCAAAUCAAAUCAAAUCAAAUCAAAUCAAAUCAAAUUCGCAUGGUUGGAUUAAUGUGAUCCCUCUUAUUAAUUAAUAUUUAUUUAUUUUAUUUAUUUAUUUAUCACCUCUUUAAAUAUAAAAAUAUAAUAUAAUUAAAUUCAGCAAUACAACAAUUAACGACGUUUUAAUUAAGAGAGAUAUUGCGGAAAAAUCCAAAGCAUUUUUUCCUUUGUCUCGACGAAUAUUAAUUUAUAUAGAAGAUUCCAAAAUAUUAUUUUUCUAAACUGUUGAUGGGCAAGUUGAGAUGCAUGGUAUAUAAGAUUUUGUUUAAUGUAUACAUGCAAUUUUAAUAUAUAUGCUGUAUAUAUAUAUAUAUAUAUAUAUAUAUAUAUAUAUGAUGUUAGCAGAUAUAUAGCAAUGCGGCAAUAUAUAUAUAUGGUUCCCUUUUCCUGAUUCAAAAGUUAAACGGUGAUAUAUCGAUUGCAUGUCGCUAAUUAAAAACUAGCUAGCUAGCUAGUAUAAUAUAGUUAGUUUAAAUCACCGGCCGAUCGAAUUAGUAAAAUUUUGAAUCAUGUACAUUUUAAGCACCUGUCGACUUUGGCUUUAACAAUCAUCGUAUGAUAUGAUUUUUUGUAGUUAUUGCCAAAUCGAUCAUACUUGUGAGCCGCCCGCUCCGUUUGAAUUAAAUGGUAGACAGCACCAAAUAAUUAAGAAGUUAUUGGAAUUCAUUUGAUAUUUUAUUCUCUCACCCACACAGUAGCAAAUUCGGUUUUCCCCGUGGGGCCACUGAGUAUAUAUAAGGUCUGCUUUAUCUGUUUUGCCUCUGGUUUCAAUGGCAACAAUAAUUACCGUGCUUGAUAAAAAAUAAUUAAAAAUUCUGCUGUAGACAGAAAAUUUUGAGCCUCCAAACAAGAAAUUCCGACUGAUACUUUCGAUUAUAUAUACGCGACACUAACUGAAUGUAAUAGUUAUAUGUAUAUAUUAUUAUAUAUAUAUAUAUAUAUAUAUAUAUAUAUAUAUAUAUAUAUAUAUAUGAAAUAUAAUAGGAAUAAAUCUUUUAAUCAGGUUAUAGCAUUUUAGGUGAUUGUUACGCCCAAAUGGUUAAGAAAAAUUAAACGUGCUAGGGUUAGAAUAAUCAUAGAAUGUGUGACGCCCUAGAAAAUGGGGUAUUACAGUGGGUAUUAGAGCCAAUUACCAGCCGAAAAUAUUAGAUAAAUGUCGGCUGAGCCAAAAUUAUAUAGCGAGCUCAUCGGCAGAUCAUAGUUGUGGGUGGAGCACGACUCCCCACAAGGUCAAACGAGACCCCACAAGGUCAAAUGAGAUGAGUCUCAAAUCGCCUAUUGCUUGUGAAUAUGUUUAAGCCUAUCGAGAACGUCGAUAUAAUAGCACUGAAAUAGUUUUAUAUAUGAGAUAUAAUAAAAUAAGAUCAUUUUACCCGAAUAUAGCAUUUUAGGAGUGGCUAGCUAGGUUAAUUUAAGAGAUUAGGAGAUUUAAGCAUGCUAGGACUAAAUGGGCGACUCAUUGGAAAGUGGGGCAUAAUAGUUGAGGAUUGUGGAUCUAAAGUUUCAAUUUUGUUUGUGUCCAAAAGUUAUAAUUUUUUUCCUUAGAAUUUAUUUUAUUUUAUUUUUUGAGUUUUAAUAUUAAAGAAUAUUUUGGAUGAAGUUAAAAUUAAUAUGUGAUAACAGAUCAAGAACUUUGUAGCAAGAAACAGUUGGAAAGUUCCCUAUUAAAAUUUUAUUAAUUAGUUUUUUAGUUUCCCCCGCCCUUAUUUUGAACGGCAGCUUACGAGCUGUCAGAGCCGCGAAGAAAUCGAUGGCCUGACAUAUAUGGUAGGAGUACGUUACGUUUACUUUGCGUAACGACCUCUGAGGUCCUGCCGUGGGAGUGCGGGACGUCGGGUACGAAAUGCGGGAAACAGCUUCGGGUUUCGUACCACCGCGAUCGAGUAGGAAAACCAAGUCAAAUUUUCCACAUAUAUAUCAGGUAGGUUAAUUUCUAAUUGGGAGACGUUAGAUCGAGGAAAAAUUCUAGAAUGCAACGGGUAUAUUAGUGACGUGGCGUAACAAACCAAUCAAAUUAAUUCUUUUAAAAAUAUAUGUCCCAUCAUGAUUGUAAAAAAGUAUUUUUAUUGUAUUUUUGUUUGAAAAGAAGGAAUGUGAUUGGCUUGUUAUUGAUGACGUGGUGCAAGUGUGACAGUGUAGAAUUCCUCUAGAUCGAGACACGUAAAAAUAAGUAAUAACCGAAAGUAAUGUCAGUGGAAACAUAUAUAUAUAUAUAUAUAUGUAUAUAUAUAUAUAUACACAUAUAUAUAUAUAUACAUAUAUAUAUAUAUAUAUAUAUAUAUAUGAUAUAUAUAUAUAAUAUAGAGUGGGCAUAUAUAUUAUAUAUAGAGUGAAGUGAGGCUACUAUGCUAUCAGAAGUCGGAGCCUUCCGUGCUUCCAGCUAGUUUUUGAUCGUUGCACUUCGAAUUGUCGAUCGGUCUCCGUUAAACUUGAAUUCUAUGAGUAUUUGGGAGUACCUACAAUAAUGCGAUAUGGUGCGUUUGCUUCGUUUAACGGAUAGAAGAGCUUCAAAUCAACUAAAAUUUUUUGUUUAAAAAAUCUUUUUAAACUUUUAAAAUAAAAACGAUCUAGACUCUAGAUCCAAAUAUAAAAAAUUGUAUUAUCACUUUUUUCAAGGAUAGUUAUUUCCAGCCAUUUAUUUUUCUGUUUCACUUGAUGGACAGAGAACAAUAUCUGAAAAUGUGUGUUGAAAUUUGGAUUUCCAGGAUAGUUUAAGUAGUUUUAUGAUCUGUGUUGUAACAGUGCCGAUCAUCAAUUUGGAAGCCCUAUAUCAAAACAAAUCGGUAGCUAACGGCUCGUUUUACUACGAUAGUUAUUCUAGCAAAACCCUAUAUUAUAUAGUAUAUAUAUAUAUAUAGAUGAGAGGAGAGAGAGAGAGAGAUGAGGAGAGGAGACGAUGAGAGAGAGAGAGAGAGAACGAGAGAGAGAGAGAGAGGGAUGGAGGAGGGGAGGGGAAGUUGAGCUGGGAAUACUAUCGGUAGCAAACGCGGCUCCGUGCACCAUUUGUUUUCGAUGAUGGGAGCCUCCAAAUCGACGAUUAGUGCCGUUAAAAAUGCAUCAGUAUUACACUUGAUAUGGUAUUCUGAGAAUCAAAUUUCAUGCUUUUCCGAAUAUUUUCUCUUGUUCACUCAAGUGGGCGGUAUAAUGAGAUGGCUAAAAAUGAAUAUCAUCUACAAAAGUGAUGAUAGGAAUUGUUCUAAUCAAGGAUCGAGGUAGUGAGAUCUUGUUCUAAAUAGUUUAAAGAAUUUUAAAAUAACGAAAAUAUUCAAUUGAUUGGAUAGGUUACACGUAAACGAGAAAACCCUAUAUUUGACCAUUAAAAUUUACAAAUUUUUGAAACCCUUUGAAUCUAUUAGGUCAGAUGGAUGCGUCGGAGAAAGAUUUUGAAAUUAAUUUCGAGAUACUUCAAAGUGGUAUAGAUCAUGAUUCAACCGCCAGGGCUUACCGAUUAUCGAUUUGGAGGAUCUAAUCAGCUGAAAUUUAAAUGGAUGGCACAGGGGAGCCGUUGCUAUCGAUAGAUUCUACCUCAAACUUCUAUAUAUAUAUAUAAAUAUUAUAUAUUAGUCCGGCUAGGGGGGAUACUAUCGGGGAUAGCGCACAAGGAUUUGGUCAUCAAGUUGUUCUGCCGUUUCUUACAUUUACCUUUUUAUCAUUUUAUCCAUUGAUUAUACUAUUCAACGCAACACCCAUCAACAUAGAAGGACCCCAUCCAUCCUAACUAUACAUUUUUUAAUCCAAAAGGACAGCCAAAACUUAAUGUACCAGAUAUGGUACUAUUAAUAGUAUUCCAGCUAGUUAUUAUAUAUAUAUAUAUAUAUAUAUAUAUAUAUAUUAAUAUUAUAUAUAUAUAUAUAUAUAUAUAUAUAUAUAUAUAUAGGCUUGACGCUAGGAAUACUCUCAGAUAGUAAAAUGAUUGCAUAUUUACUAUCGAGUUGUUUUCGAUCAUAGAGCUUCCAAAUUGACGAUCGGCUCCGUUGAACAUGAUCUAUACCACUUGAAGUGUUUAGAAAUCAAAUUUCAAAUCUUUUCGACAUCAUUUGCCUAAUGAUCAAAGCGUUUCAAAAUUUGUAAUUUUAAUGGUGGAUAAGAAACGUUUUCUCGUUUAAUGGUGUAAAGAUAUCCAAAUCAAUUGAAUUUUUGUUAGAAAAUUCUUUAAACUAUUUAAAACAAGAUCUAUACUCUUGAUCUUGAUUACAAGACUCCUAUCAUCAUUUUUUAAAGAAUAUUCAUUUUCAACCAUUCAUUUUCUGUUCACUAGAUGGAUAAAAGAACAAUGUCGAAAGUGCGUGAAAUUUAAUUUCUCGAUAGUUUAAAUGGUUUAGAUCAUAUUUAACGGAGCCGAUCGUCAAUUUGGAAGCUCUAUCAUCGAAAACAACUCGAUAGUAAAACGCUCCGUUUACUAUCGAGAGUAUUCUAGCUCAACUCUAUAUAUAUAUAUAUAUAUAUAUAUAUAUAUAGAUAUAUAUAUAUGCUCACUCAUGAUUAAAUAUUAAAAUAAUCUUUUGAAUAUUUAGACAGUACUGGUUUAUGCCGCUUCGUUAAUUAGGUGCUAGGUGAUCUUUUCUUUUCUUUUCUUAUCUUUUUUUUGAGAAAAAUCUCUUUAUGAAUUACCAAGAUAUAUAAUUGUGCCAAAAUAUUAGUCGAUUUUGUAUUGCACUAAAGUGACGUACAAGGGUUCAAUUACACCAAUCUCCUAAGGCUCUAUUCGAAAGUGGGUUAUUCGGUAUAAAUAUUUUCUUAUGUGAUUGUAAGAAAGAAAUUUAAUUUCUGCUCCUUGAAAGAUUUUAAUAUCUAUGAUUUGGUAGGAUAACGUAUUUCACUUAUGAGAUAUUUAUCUUAUCCGAAAAAAUAAUUUAAAGGCUGAAUAUAAUAUUUAAUUUUAGACAUUUGAUCAUGCUCCUUAUCUACCAAACAUACAAACUUUUUAAAUAAAUUAUGAAGAUAUACUAAAUAAGAUAUUCGUACAUCCAAAUAAUGCCUAACUGUAUGAAUCUCGCCAAUAGUCCUAUUUACUUCUAAGUAAUAUUAGUAGGCAUAGUAGUACUAUGGGCAUGUUUUAUUUCGGGAUAAAGAGCGAGCAAUUAACUAAAGUUAUCCCCUACUAUUCCAUCACACCUUUUAAAGGAAAAAGAAAAAAAACUGAAUAGUUAUUCUGAUUAAACCAUGGUAUUCUAAAUAAUCCAAAAAUAAUCUCAAAAUAAAUUCUCCACAUUUCCAAUGGUAUAGGGCUAUUCUUAAUUAUGAUCGUCUUAGAUUAUUUCGGACAAUUCAAGUAAGAAAAAUGUAUGCCUAUAUCGUAUAUUACAUAUAUAUUUAAGUAUAUUAAUUAUAGAGAUAAUUUAAUGAAUGUUCCGUUACUAUAAUAUCGUUAUACUCUCCUAAAUUUAAUAUUAUUAUAGUGUCCGGCUACUAUGCUAUCGGUAGCACGGAGCGCUUCGUACUAUCAAGUUGUUUUUGAUGAUACGGCUUCCAAAUCGACGGUCGGCUCCGUUAGACUGAUCUACACUAUUGAAAGUAUUUGAAAACUAAAUUUUCGAUUUUUUCGACAUUAUUUGACUAGUGAUCAAAAGAUCUCAAAAUUGACAAUUUUAAUGGUCGAUGUGGUAUGUUUGUGAGUUUAACGGUGUAAAACAAUCCAAAUGCUAUGAAAAUUUUAUAGAAAAUUCUUUCCACUAUUUAGAGUAAGAUCAGUAUAUCUGAUCUUGAAUUUAAAUCUUUUAUCAUCGUUUUUCAUGAGAUUUUUAUUUUUAGCCGUUCAAUUGUAGACUACUUGAUUGAUAGGUAAAUGAUAUCGAAAAAUUAUGAAAUUUAGUUUCUAAAUACUUUCAAUAGUGUAGAUCAAGUCUAACUGAGCCGAUUGUCGAUUUGGAAGCCGCAUCAUCGAAAACAACUUGGUAGCACGGAGCGCCGUGCUACCGAUAGUAUAGCAGCCUAGUUCUAUUAUUAUAUAUUCCUAUUAAAUGGUCAUGAAUAUCAUGAAUAUUUUCCUAAUAGUUAGUCUCUAUCCAAAAAUACCCUUCAUAAUUUUAAAAUGCCAAGUUUACUCUUUAUCCAUUAUUUAUUUAUGCUCCUUAAAUUUUCUAUCUGUUGAUAUUCAAAACGUUUCAAAAUUACUCUCAAAAUUUUUUGCCGAUAAUUUUCACCAUCAUGUAUAAAUCACACCGAUAAUUUAAAUUUGAAUAUAAAAUUUAAAUUUAAAAUUCAAGAUCUAAGUUUAAAUUUUGAAUUUGAAUUUAAAAUUUCAAGUCUAUUGUGAAUAUAAAUUCUAAUUUGAAAUUCAAAUUCAAAAUAUGUUCAUAUUUUGAAUCUGAAUUUCAAACGGAAAGUUUGAAAUUAAAUCUAAAACUAAUUCAAAAUCUAGAUUUGGAAGUAAAAUUAAGGACACAAUCUCUAUUUGAAUUCAAAAUUGAAAUUGAAUUUAAAUUCAAAUCUAGAAUUAUAAUUUAAAUUUAAAAUUUGAAAAAAUUAGGUUUAAAAUUGAAAUUCAAUUCAAAUCUAGAUUUUCACUUUAGAGAAUCUAAGAUUAAAAUUUAAACUAAAGUUUGAAUUAAAAAACUAACUAUAACUUUUGAGACUAUUUAAGGAUAAAAUUUAUAUUUUAAAACUUAAUUAGCAUUAAUUAAAUUAGUCUCAAACUAAGGUUAGGGUAACACUCCAUAGUGUGAGAUAAUGAGGGACGAUUAUAUUGGAAGGUUAUAUGUGAUAUUGUAACACCGUGUGAUGUAAUGUAUACUAUAACAAAUUGUAUUAUAAUAAAAAGAACAAUAAUCUAAUUAUCAUUAUCAUUACUACUGCUACCACACACCACCACCAUUGUAUUAUUAUUACAUGAUUCUACAAAAAAAAAAUAGCAUUUAUGUUGUAAGAUAUAAUGAUAUGUUACAAUUUAUCUUCAACUGUUUACUAACUACAUAUAUAUUUUUCUAUUAGCCCCCACUAUCCUGGAGGUAAAUACUAAAUACAAUUUAAUUAUACGUAGGAAUAAAUAAAAUUGAAAUACACAUAAUUUUACACGUAUUUCUAUCUAUUAUCGUAGAAUAAUUAAGUUUCUCAAAUAACAAUAUUUCUUAGGAAAUUGUCUUAAAACCAAACAUAGUCUAUAGGAAUAAUGUGAACUGUGAAUAAGAAUCUUAAGGAUCUAUAUAUGGAACCAUUCUUACACAUAUAUUCCUCAAAAUUUAAUAUUAAUUUUAUUGCUAAACUGCUAUUUUUGUAAGUUAAUUACUACUAGAUCUACAAUCCAAACUGGAUUGCAAUAGUACAGUACCCUUAUUUAAAGAUCAAAUUAAUUUUCUCUACUAACCCUAGCCCCUGUGUGGAUCAUUGUUCUCUUCAUUGGGAUUUUAGACAGUGAAAAUGAAUUUCCUUUCUUUCGCAAUUCGCAUCGCAUAGAAAUUAAGCAGUAGGAAACUCAUUUUACACUGAUUAAUUAGCCUCGCGGCCCGUGAAAUUUCUCUAUAUAUGGGUUUACGUAGUGGAGUUUUUUUUUUUUUUUUUUUUUUUUUUUGAGAGAUAGGUACGUAGCACGCUACCCGCUUCGUUUAUUUCAUUUAGAAAUAAACUUAGCUAGAAAUGUGAAUCAACUAGAAUUCGAAGUUGGGUCUCGGAUACCAACCACUAAACUCUUUGCCACUUGCUCUAUAUAUGGGUUUACGUAGUGGAGUUAAUUUGAUGAACUAUUUAUUAAUGUGCUGUACAUGGUACAAAAUUAGUUGCAAUCAAUUCUGGUACCAUAUACAACAAAUUAAAAGUUACCUACCUCUUUUAACGAUUGUUGACAAGUUACUUAAUUAGCGUCUUCGAGUCCAGUGAGGAACUUAAAACUAAUUAUAAGAAUGAGUAAACUUUAAGGAAACUAAUUUUUCAUCGUUUACUUGUUUGUAUAACCUAUAUAUAUACAUAGAAUUGCCCAAACUAUAGAAUAACUAAUUAAUUGCUUAGAAGCUAGCUAGCUAUAUGUUGACGAUCUCUUCACCUAACCGAAUAGUAGUGUAGACCCAAAAUAUGUGAUUAAUUUUACGUACAUAAGCAAACUGAAGAGUGUGGGCAUGAAAGAAGACCGGAAGAAACUAAAUAUUACUACGCAAGGUGAUCGAUCGGGGAGAGCUAUAGCUAGCUAGGUGUGAAACUGCAGGGUGGGUUUAUCAUGAAUUUGCAAUUAAUUAAAUCUUGAGCAAUGCUCAUAUAUAUUCUAAGCACACGUACAAGAAAAAAAAAAAGAAAAGGAGAAGAAAUAAAAAAAAAAAAGAGCAAACGUACGGUAGGAGUAAAAUCUUAAAUCUUACUUAUUUAAGGGCCGGGUCAAUAUUUUUUCACUAGUUUUAUUAUCAUUUUUUAAAUAUUAUAAAUUUAAAAUGCGUGUCCUAGUUAAUUUUUAUGUGGACGAGCGCAUAAACUUAAUGGUGCUCUCCUUCCUUUGGGAUGUACGUAUAAUAUUUCUCUUAAAUUUUAGACCUCUAGCUUUGUAGCUAGCAGGCUGUUGAAAAAAAAAAAAAGAAAAAAAAAAAGAGGUUAGAGAAAAACCCCACCCACAGCUAGCCCACAUAGGUAGAUAAAUUAAAACAGAAACAAUGGUAAUUAAUGAGGGAGGUGAAAAGCAAGGGACUUGCUAAAAAAUUGGCCCAACAUAUGGUAAUGAGUAGUAUUAUUAAUUAGUACAUCCACUUCUACGGAGCCCGUUAAAUUGAGCAAGUACGGCUGAAUUCUGACGCUCAAGGUGAAAAUGGUUGUACAUUUAUCUAUUAAUAUUAACGCAUCUCUCACCGUCAAAACCUUUUCUGUCAAUAAUACAAUAGAUAUAGUUAGUUCCUGUUUUAUACAUAUAUAUAUAUAUAUGGAUCAGUACCUAAUCUAUAGGCUUAUACUAAUUUUAGGGUAUGUUCCGUUCGCCCUUCUUUCAUUCUGGAAUCGGAACGAACAAAUUCGUUUGUCCGUGUUUAGUAUGCGAAAUUUUCAUUCCGAUUUUGAUUUUCGGAUGAAUGAAAAUCUCCCAAAUUACCCUUUUUUUAAUCCGGUCUAGAAGGCCGGAUUGAAAAUUGAAUCGUGGCGGAAUGAAUUUGUUAGGAUUAAAUUUACCCUUUUUAAACUUAUUUUUUUAAUUAAAACAUACAUAAUUUUAAGUUUAAAAUUUAUAUUUACAAAUUUUAAUUUUAACUUAAAUUAAAAAUUAAAAUUCAAUCAACCAUUUCGAAUUUAAUUUAUAAAAUUUAAUUUGAAUCCUAAAGUUUUAUUCAAUUUUUAUUCAAAAUUUAAAUUAAAUUCAUGGAUUCAAAUUGAAAUUUAAAUUAUAAUGUUAAGUUUGAAUUUGAAUAUUUCAAAAUUUAGUUUUAUAUUUUGAAUUCUCCGUUCAGUUUUCAAUUUUAAUUUUUUAAAAAAAAUAUAUUUAAAAUUUUGACAUCAUUUUAAAAUUUUUACAUAAAAUUUUAAUACUUAAUUUUCAGUUUGAAUUUACACUGAUAUAUUAUAAAAAUAAAAUUGAUAUAUUAAUUUAAUUAUGUUUCUGAUAUCUAUCCGAAUCAAGCACCAGCAAUGAUUUAUUCCGAUUCCGAUUCAGACGGCGAUCCAAACAGAAUGAGAUAGUGACUCAUUCCGAUUCCGUCUCCAGCUUAUUUUCCCUCCGACUUCGAUACCGAUUCCGACUUCGAACCAAAUACACCCUUAGAGAAAGAAGUCUAUGUACCGGAGUCAAAUUCACAACUACUGCAGUGGAAAGAUUAGAUUGCCGGCACUAUAGUAAUAUUAAAUAAAAAUAGUAGAUUAAUGGUAUUUUUGUAAUAGUAAAUAAAAAUAGCAGAUAAUAGCUAGGAGUAAACAAAAAAUAUUGUUGUUGUUAAUAAGGGAGGCAAAAGACAACCCAAGUUAAUUAGUUGGCCCAUGCACCAAUCCGAAAGAUAAUCAGAUCUAGACAAACAUGCAUUUUGUCUGAAAAAUUGGGUUCUCAUAAUUCACUUUGUACUGAUUAAAAUUCUCUGUUUGGAUUCGGAUAUAAAAAUUCAGACAAACUGGGCCAAUGGUCCGAGUUUGGACUAACAGCUUAAAUAAUAAACUACCUUGAAUUAUAUUAAACUACUGCUUAGUUAUUUCAAGAGAUAUAUGAAUUAAGUAUCUCUAAGAUUAUAAUAUUAAUUAAAUCUAGCUACUACAAUCCUUAAUUUGUAUUUUUUUUUUCUUUUGCAUGUGAAAUGAUUUUAAUCAAAUAAAAAUCGUUAAAAAAAUUAAAUUAAAUUUUUUCCUAAUUCAAUUUGAGAAUUAUCUAAUAAAAGAUAUAAAUAUCGAUCGAGUUGCUGAUCUUUAUGGCGUUGUUUGACUUUAUUUAGAUUUGAAACUAUUUGACUUCAUUGUGGUAUAAGUAAAUAUGAGAAUUUGUGGUUUAUUAAUUUCUAAUUUUAAAAAAAAAAUUGUCAAAAUGGGCGCAAAAUUAGAAAAAAAAAAAUUACAAUAUAAUUUUAUUUGAUUUUUUUUUCAAAAAAUCAAUUUAUAAUAAUUUCAAUUCUAAUGAAAUAAAAUAAAUAUAUAAACUUUAAAUCAAAAUUAUAAAAGCAUUUAAAGUACGUACAAAAGUAUUUUUAAAAUGCAAAAUAUCGGGUUAUUAUUGAAAAAAAAAAAGAAGUGACAGAACUAUAAAAUAAUUCACUCUUCUAUAUACAGUAUAGAUAUUAUUAUUAUUAUUAUUAUUAUUAUAGAUACUAAUAAUAAUAGGUAUCGAUGGAUGGAUGGAUGGAUAGAUGGAUGGAUAUACGUACGUGGCAUGCAUAUAUACAAGUGGGUCCAGAUCCGGUUUUAAACUGGGUCUGAUCAUUAAUUUGAAUAUAUAUAUAUAUAUAUAUAUAGUGUAUAUAGUGUAUGCGCUAGCUAGCUGUGUGAAAAUUUUUUAUUAUCCCUAGCUAGCUAGUAAUUAUCGGACCCCGGCCGGCUUGAUGGGUACGUGGGUCGGUAGGUGAAUUUUUAUUCUUGCACACAAAUUAAUUUUAAGUGUUGAGGUGCCGCGCGGCCAUUAAUUAGCGACGAAUCAUUAAUCCACGAGUGUCGUAAUCAAUGAACAGCAUGCAUGUAGCUAGCUAGGCACGAGCAUAAUUAAUUUGGAGGGUGGAGAUAGUUAUGUAUGCUGCCUACCUGGAUGUGAUGAAUUUGAUUUAUGACAGCUAAGUUCGUUAGGACGGUGGUGGAUCCGCUCGCGAGUAAUUGCACGCGAAUUAACACCUCCCACGACCCAUUUUUUCACCGAAUCGGCCGUUUCGAUCGCGUGCGUCCAUCGAAAACCUAAUUUCUUUCUGAUUCUAUUAAUUGUUCAUAUAUAAGAGACAUCUAUCUUUAUACAAGGGAGAGAUCGGAUAAUUAAUUCGGUACAUGGUAUAUAUAUACAUGGAGACAUCUCUAUAUAGUAUACAAUUAUUAUACGACGAAAUUUCUUUUCUCCGAUCGAUAAUAGUGAAGAUGUAAAUGAAAAUAUUUAUUUAUAUAUGUUGACGCUCCCGCAAACUCAAGACGGGUCAAGCACCACAAGAGUUUGGGCAAAAAGUACUAAUUUCUUUGAAUAGUGUAAGAUUUGGACAAAUGUACUGAGAUUUGGUGAAAAAAUCGGUAAGCUGUUGAACGGACGAAGCAAAUGGUAAUGCUAUCGUGCCAUUAGUAUAAUAACGGCGAAUGAAAUUGCGACUCAUUUUGAUAUGGUUGGUGGGUUCGUGAAAGACAUGUUAUCCGCAAUUUUAAUCGCACUUUGAUUAUCACAAUAUGGUUGUGUUGGAGCAGAGUAGAGGGCACCGAGGUCAUCAAAGAACUAUCCAAGCCAUAUAAUUUCAGAGGUUGCAGAGGGUGCCAGGUGCAAGGAGAACUAAUGACCAGAUACUAGCACGAUGAAGGGCAACAAGUUCCGUAGUCAUCGCAUCCCGCCAUUCAAUAAUGGAAGCGGUAUACGAUACAUUUGUGGUUCCCAGAUAUCAGAAAUAGCUGCAAGAAAUUAAUGUAUGAUAAUACAAAAAAAUGCAGGUAGAGUCAAUAGAACCGACAAAUUAUUUUGGACGACGAGUUCUCGAUACACAAUGGUGGUCGGAUCAUCCGAUGAGGCGAUACUUGUUGGGUCCUCAUGUGGUCCUCAUGUGGUGGUGCUUGUACAACAAGAAAAUCUAUAGAGAAUAGAGCCGGUAAAGGUGAGAAGAAGUAGCAGUUGAGGAAUCAGUUGGUUAGGAUUCUUCGGGAGAAGAAAUAGUGGCUGAUGAAAUGUUGAAGCGAAAAAAGAUCAACUAUAAGCAUUGAAAUGGAAAUGACGUCAGCACUCAAACUAGAUUGAACAUAAUUGGGUAAAUGUUCGAGAAAAGAAUGAUAUCUUGAGAAAUAUGCAUGUGACGAGCAAUAGGAUCAUAACAUCGUUGUGUUCAAGAUAUAGCCUAAGAAAACACGAAUAUAUAAUUUCAGGGAGAGUUUGGUCAUUCAUGUCAGGGUGGGAGAACAAAACAAGUGUACACACACACACGCGUGCGCACACACACACACACCCCGGGGGAUAUGGCAGAUAAGAGACUACAAGGCAUGAUAUAAACUAGACACAUAUGUAGAGAAAGCAUCAACCCAAAAAUGUUAAGGCGUAGACCCAUCUAUAAGAUGAGAGUAAGCAGUUUUAAAGAUGUCUCAUAUCAGUGCUUACGCUCAGCAAUGUCAUUUUGUUGAUGCACAUACAUGAAAGUUGUGGCAAAGUAUCAUGUUUAGCAAGGAGUAGAGGAAACUCAUUCGAAAAUACUCAUGCAUGCUGAUCUCUCCAUUUUUUUUUUGGUUAACGUCGAACCAAGUGGGCCCAAAGAUAACAAUAACAACAUCGAAUGCUCCACUUGUCUUGUCUAGCACUAUAACUUCUAAAAGAAUUGGAAGGUAUAGAUGAGAAGAAGUAGACACUAAUGCAGGUAGAGAAGUUGUAGGAUCACGAGCAGCGAGGACAAUAAGCAUCGCAGAAAUAGAGGAACUUAGAACUUGAAGGCAUGUCUCUGCAGCAAUUAGUUUCGCCAGAGCUGCAUCAAUGGUGAGGAAUGGAGUUCGAUGGAGAAGUUGACCACGCAAGGCUUCAAACUUAGGUAGCAAGUGCAUAAGGAACUAGAAUAAACAUUGUUGAUUGUGCACUUGCUUUUGCUUGAAAGCACACUGACAAGCUGAGCAAGUGCGGCAUAAGGGUAUCCAUAGUUGCUAUUUGAUGCCAAAGUGCCUGCAUAAAGUCAUAGAAAAUCGAAAUUAUGCGCUCCUCUUGAUGAGCUGUGGAGAUUGUGUCAUGCCUUGAGUCCGACCAAUUGGACCCGCUUGGACAUGUACAAUAGAUCCACUGGACAAGACAAGUUUUCCCCUACCCAUACGAAGCAGAAACAUACAGCAACCUGUACAAUGCCAUAUAUGAAAUAGUUAUAAUAGAGCAUUAGCGUAAUAUUUCUAAAUUAAAACCACUGCAAACGUACUCAUUUAAAGUUUACCAAACUUAAUACAUUCCAAAAUAUUACAAUUUUAUUGUUCAUAUAAAAAGGUACAAUCUAAACCACGUACUCACAUGGUCUAACUACUCCACAACGCCCUUACUAUGGUCCCGCACCUCAAAGAUAAUAAUAGGAUCUGAAAAUAGGUAAACAACAAUGGAAUAAGAACUUGGAAUGAGUUCUGAAUAGGUGCAACCACUGAAAGUGGUAUUCUAUACUCACCAAGUUCCAAACGGGCGUUAGUAAUAAGUAAUAAUAAACAACAUCUAUUACCACAAUAGAAAAGUAAAUAAGUAAGAUAUAUCUAUAAUGCCUCUCUAUAUAUAUAAUAUGCAAAAAUGGUUUGCUAUGUUAUUUACUACACAUUCACCUCAUUUUAUUUUCUUAAUUUUAACAAACUUGUUCAUUUGGUUUACUUUUCAAUCUCAGUACACACCUUAUGGAGAGUCAAGGAUGAUCGAACUUCUCUCCAAUCGGUAGGCACUUGGGAUUGAAGGAGAUCAGAUUUUCUCUAGUAUGGCAUCGGGAGUUGAGAGGAUUAGACUUCUCCCUUUAUGACACUUCCGAAAAUCGCAACAUGUUUCAUUGUUACACCUUAAGUUCGUGACUUCUAGGGUUGUCAUAAGGUUUAUUUCCAUAUUGUUUUAUUUUCUAGUUCUAGUUUUGCCUAGAGAUACCACUAUAUUCACAUCUUAGGUUUCAAAAUAGGUUAAACGCCACACUUGUUUUCAACAUUUUAUGGUUCACAUAAUACUCACAUGUACAUCUCAAGUAUUUUCUUGUAGUAUAAUAAAGGGAUAAAAUCCUAUUUUCCUAGGCCAAAUGGCAAUAUACAAUUUUGACUCUCUAGAUCCCCUAGCAUGCAACUAAAAUAUAUUUCAGCUUAUAUAAAACUCAUAAAAUAUGCAUGCAACAAAAAAAUAAUUUAGACAAAGAGGAAACUAAAUCUAUUUUGAUUAUAUUCUUUACCUUUUCUUAGAUCUUCUCUAAGAGAUGCUCUUGAUCUUUUUAGAAUACCAAGAAAAUCUUAAAAAUUAAUUCUAACCAAGUUAGAAUCUAAAAAUUCUAUGUUUAGGAAAAUUCCCAAAAUAAACCAGAAGAUUCCAACUUACCUCUUCUCUUCCUGGUAUAAGAAAUGCGGGUGAAAUGGACUUCUUCUCCCUCCAAGAGCGUUCUCUUGAUGAAUUUGACCUUCUCCAAGCUUUCAAGGAAAUAGAUCUUUAAGUUUCAACAAUAGAGAUUUUAGGGCUCUUUUACUGUAAAGAAAGAGAGAAGAGGAUAGUGAGAGAGGAAGAAAUAUAAGAGAAAUUAGGGCUAACUAAUUAAAAGGAUACUCAUAGACGUGCUAUAAUAGCACAUAAACCCGCCGACAAUCCAAAUUUAUAAAGCCAUAAACCUCGACCUUUUAACUAGGAUUCGGGCACCCACUUGUCCGGACUUUCAGGUGCCGGUCCAAACUUUUAGGAGCCCAAAAGCCUCGUAGCUCCCUUUGGUCAAUUGUCUAGAUGCCCGGCCAAUCCGCCCUAUCCAUAAUACGGGUGCCCAAAAUGGACAUCAGGUGUCCAAUUAUUUAAUCCAUCACACAUGCGCUCUCAGGUUGAACAUCCAAAAGACAUUCGGAUGCCCGCGAGGGACUGCUUGAAAGAUUUUUCGAGCGCCAGAUUUUGGUCAACCGAAUAUUCAAUCCUUCACCUCCCAAGUUCUCGGGUUGGGAGUCCGAAAGAGGGUCUGGAUCCUCUUAAGUAGGAUUUGAAAGGUUAAUUUGCAGGCACCUAUGGGGCCAUUCGGGCACUCUAAAGUCAUCCUUCAAGUGAGUCCCACUGUCCGAAAUGGUUUCGGGUGCUUGGGAUCCUGUUUCGAGCGCUUGGGAUCCUAUUUCGGGCAUCCGAGAAGUUUGAUACUUCAGUUUUCACUUCUUUGAAAAUCAAUUUCAAUAUAAAUUAGUUUAUAUUCGGUCCAAAUUCAAACUACACUCCUUCAAACCCAUUUUAAUUGUGUCUAGCAUGACUUAAUCCGUACUUUGUUAAUUUAGCCAAAAUUCAGUAUGUUACAGAUUUUCUAUACUUAGAAAAUAACCAUAACUAUACUAUCUAUAUAUUUGUCUCUAUAUAUCGAUCAAAGAUAGACCACAUCUGGUAAAUGGUGGAUAGGCUGAUUAAUUGCAUACAAAUGUCGAUAUCCACUUGUAUAAAUAAGCCCAUGUGCCCGUCAAUCAGCAGCAAAUCAGGCUUUAGUUUUGUUUCAUCAACUGUUAGAUUGGUACCAUCAAUAUGACUGGUAAGAUCAAGAGUAUUCAAAUAAUAAUUGAAUACACAUCGACCAUUCAUAAUAGUUGGGCACGAUGAGCUUAAUAUCAAUUUGCACAAUAGUAGGUUAGAGGUGAGAGAACUAUUUUUCUUUACAGGUCUAAGCUAUUAGAGAAUGAUCCUUUAACUAUUAUGUGCUCAAAACAUUUUGGCAUCUAAUGGCAGAUUUUGGCUAAAAGCCAAAUAUGCAAAUUGCUAAAACUAAAUUAAAGAUUAGUAUCAAAAGAUUUUGGCAGAAAAUUAGUCUCAAAAGAUUCGGAGUCAAGACCUUAUGCUUUGAUAUCAUUUAGGACAUUGUUUUCACUUCCAUAUAUACUCAAUAGGGAUUAUCUUAAAUUCUGUUGAAUUCGCAGGUCCAUUCCAAUUUAUGAUGUGAUCCAAAAUUUUAGCAGUAAAAUUAAAAAUUUCACUACUAGAAAAUUAGUCAUUAGUGACAUUUAUUUACGCUGCUAAAAGAUCAACGAAUGCCACUAAAAAUUUUAGCAGCAUAUGACACUAACUGUUGCAUAUGCCAAUGUUGCUAAAAGUAUUAGCAGUAUUUAUAAUGAAUGCUGCCAAUGUAAAUCAAUUAGUGUUAUUAGGAACAUGCCUCUAAUAUAAAUCAAUUAGUGUCAUUCGGAACAUGCCGCUAAAAGGGAUUAAAUGCUAAUUUUAACUUAUUUAUUAGUGGGACAUAAAUUAAUAUAACGCCACAAAUACAAAUAUCUGAUUUUAGGGACUCAAGUUUUAAAAUUUUAAUUUUACCCGCUUCAGCUGGAAAUGUGAAUCAACUAGGAUUCAAACUUGAGACCUCAGUUACCAACCAUCAAGCACUUUGUCACUUACGCUAGGAACUCUCAGUUAUAUAUAUUUAAUUUUUUUUAAAUUUUAAGCCUUCAAUUUUAAAAUUUUAAAAUUUUAAAUUCUAAAUUCUAAAUUUAGAUACUAAAUUUAAAUUUUUAAUUUUCAAAUAUUAAAUUUUAAGUUUCAAAAUUUACAAUUUUAAAUGUGAAAUUUUAAAUUUAAAAAAAAUGUAUAAAUUUAAAAAUUAAAAAUUAAAAAUUUAAAUUUUAGAAUUUAAAAUAGAAAAUAUAAAAUCUUAAAAUUCAAAUGUUAAAUUAUAAGUUUAAUUUUAAAAAUUAUAAGUUUCAAAUAUUUAAACUUUAAUUUCAAAACUUUUAAUUCUAAGUAAAAAUAGGAUAUAUUAAUAAUUAUAUAUUGAUUAGUAACGAUAUUUAGUAAUAAGUACUGCUACUUUAUUACAUUUAGUGGCGUUCAUUAAUUUACGCUGCUAAUUUAUCCUAUUUUGUAACAUUAAUAAUAAAUUACUGCUAAAUUAUUAAAUCUAGCGGCAAUUAUUAAAUAAUGCUGUUAAAUAUAUUAAUUAGCUUAAUUUAAAUAAAUAUUGUGAAGUAAGUGUUGCAGCAUUUAGCAAUAAGUGCUGCUAUUUUGUUACAUUUAGUGUUAUUUUUUAUAAAAUGUUGGAAACUUCAGCGGCAUUCACUAAUUUAUCAAGUACGAAUAAUUGUAAAUUGCUACUAAUUGUAACUUCAGCGGCAUUCAAUAAGUGCUGGUAAUUUAUCCUAUUUGUAACAUUAAUUGUAAAUUGCUGCUAAAUUAUUAAAUCUAGCGGCAAUUAUCAAGUAAUACUGUUAAAUAUAUUAAUUAGCAUGAUUUAAAUAAAUGUUGUGGAGUAAAUGUCACUAAAUCAUGAAUUUGUUAUAGAAUUUUAUGAAACUCCAUGGUAGUAGCACUAGAAGCCCACUACUUGCUUUGUGAGUGCAAGGGCAGCGCUCCUGCAAAUUGGAAUAGUUAAGUCGGGGCCAAAGUUUUUCUAACCCCUAAACUUUUGAUCUACCAAUUUAGUUAAACUUAGACUAGUAUCGUUAAUUCUUUAGAGAUUUAACCGCUUACAUAUGUUGAUAGACCUUACUCCGUGGAUUUGUGGUAUCAUAGAGAGCAUGACAUCUAUUUUGCAGGUUAGGAUAUUUUGAGAGACGUAUGUUUUGUACUCAGCUUUCGAUUAUAAAAAGUUUUGCUUCAUCUUUGUUCAUGGAUUCAGGUCAGUGGUCAAACAAGAUUAUUUUCUUGUGAUUUUUUUUUCUUCUCUAUUUUUUGAUUCUCCGUUUUCUUUUAUCUGAUUUUUAGUCUUUGUUGUUACGAGAUACUUACCUCCCAAAUGUCUCACCUUGAAGCUGUGAAUGCCACUAUAUAGUUAGUACAUAUAGACGAAUAUAUAAGCAACGAGUUGAUUUAGGUAAAUAAUUAUUUAGCCACCACUCCAUCCUUCUUCUUUUCACUUAAUUGGAAUUGCCUUUUAUACUCAAAUUUUGGCAUGUUACAUACUAAAUGUUGAAAACUGAUGUGGAUAAAAUUAAAUUGUCUUAGAACUUCGAAGUAGAAAUUUUUCUUCACAGUGUGGGCCAUUAUUUCAUAAAUUGGAAGAUAAAUUAUGUUUGGCAGUAUGUUUAGGAUAUGAAAUCAAGUCUGCAGGAAAACUUAAUUUAUGUAUGCUUCUAACGGAUGAUUCCAAACUUAAUUUAUGUAUGCUUCUAACGGAUGAUUCCUUACGUGAUGCAGGAUGAGGACUUUCCUAAUUGAGGGUUUCAUGUGCCACACUCAUAAUGCUGCAUGGCACACUCUACACAACAUUAUUUGUGGGAGUGCUAACAAGAUGGAGAAUUAUCUAGACAUUGUCAAGAAUCAGCUAAAGUGCAAUGUAACUAUAUUUCACGGCCGAAAAGAUGAGCUCCUCCCUGUUGAUUGUAGCUAUGCUGUCGGGUCGAAGAUCCCUAGGGCUCGUGUUAAGAUCUAUGAUGAGAAGGACCAUAUCACGGUUGUCGUUGGCCAAGAAAGGGUUUUCGCAAGAGAGCUUGAAGAGAUAUGGAAAAAUGCUAUGCAUUAAAUAAGGAGGAGGAAGAAAGAAUUUAAACCUAAAUGAAAUAACUUCCCUCUCAAUGCACAGCUCAAAGAAAUGUGAUGCAAACAAGUGAUGCAUGUUUGAGCAAAUAUAUAUAUAUCUUUUGUUUCUCUCUUUCGUUCUUUUUUAAAAAAAUUUCUUUCUAAAGUACUUAUGUUUUACCACUAUAUGUGGUUCUAUAUGGUACCCCUUAUUCAAGUGUGAAAUAUGUAAGAUAGAAAUAUUAUGGGGAAAGAUAUAGAUUUCUCUACUUUUCAUAUAUUCUUCUUAUGAACUAUGUAGUAUUGUUAGUUAAUAACUUCAUUAUUAAAUCAUCAAUCUUACUACAUCGAGAGGGCAACAAAUUAUAUAUCACUCCCCGAGGCUGUUUUGUAAAAUAUUUUCUUUGAAAACGAGUGAAAAACAUGCUUUUUCUGAACUAAAAAACUGCCCUGAACAAGCACUGAUUCGCCAUACGAACAAAAUCUUCCCUAUCCAAAUGGAUAGAGUUUUUUCUGUACGCAUGACAUAUAUAGAGACAUAAAGUACAACAUCCAACCAUCAAACACAAUAGUAGCAACAACAACGACAAUAGAGAGAUAACAACAUACUAAUAAAUGAUCGACUAUUAUGAUGAAUAAAUGACUACUGCAGCCUCCAAUCUUCACAUACAACAAGUCACCUCCUACAACCAAAAUCAAAUAACAAUAUAUACAGGCCAGAAGCAAGAAUUAAUAAUACUGAAAAGUGAAGAAAUACAGAUACUAAAACCGACUACAAGGAAGCCACCCAAACUACUAAGAAGAACAAAUCUACAAAUGCUAAAUAUACAAUAACUAAAUAAUUAGGAGUUUGAAACAAAAGGUAUAAUUACAACUCAAAGUUACUGCCAGAGGGACUCAUCUAUCUAAUAGUACCUCAUGCACAGGCGGAUAUGUCACCUCUAGUGUCACCUGUGGAAACUAGGGAAUGAAAAACAUGUACACAUAUUUUUCAGUGCGUACUGCAAGCCGUCGAAGGCAAGCUGUACUCACUAGUAAAUAAGAGAGAGAGAGCGAUAAGGUAAAUACGAUAGGUAUAAACAGGUAUAAUUGAUAUAGUAAAAGUAAAACAAGAAAGAAAUCAUGCGACUAAAUAUUUGAAAUAAUAGCACUAUUGUAAAAAGAUAAGCAGAUGUAUAUAUGCAUCAAGCAAAUGAAUACUUCAAUACUCAGUCCCAAUCCAAACAAAUAUUGUCAUGUUGGUCUAAAGACCUUAGGCAAUGCCACACCUAUGCUUAGUCACUAGGCAUAUAAUCCUUCACGCCCUAGGGUUCGGCUCAUGUCACGCCCCGGGGUCCCUUUUCAGUUUAAAACAAAGCGGAAAAGCGUCUGAAAUUUUUUUUUUUUUUGAAAACCUGACCCCAGAGUAUGCCAGAUCCGCCACAAAUACAGGGAAUCCACUGUUCACACGGACAGAGUCUCCCCUGUAUUUGCACGGCGUCGCACAAGUACAAGAAGUCACCCAAGCACAACCACAACAAAUGAACAUACAAAUAACCAACCGUUAUAUAUAUUCAUACGCCAUUCACCACAGAUUCACAUGUAUGCAUAAAUCCACACCUAUCAGUUAAAAUAUUUCCAACCACAGAAACAGGUUUUGAAAUACUAAGAUGCAAAAUCCACAGAAAGCUUUUUGAAAACUGUUUCCUACACGGAAACCUUUAUUCUUUAAAAAUGCUACCACGAGGGGUAGAAAAUAUUUUACUUUACAAAAUCCAGAAAUCCGUUUAUUACAUUCACGAAAAUCCAUAUUUUCAAAUGUAAUAAAAAAUACUGAACCAUAUAACUAUCUAAGCUAUAACAACUGAAAUAAUAAGGGUAAUAACUAUACCGAAAUAACCUGGGUCGGAAGCUCUAUCGACCGCUACACACGUACCUCACGUCUCGUCCCACUACUCAUCGCCCGCGAUACCUGAAAAAUGGUGGGGGAGGUGAGAACAUGUAAACAUGUCUCCCCUCCCAGUGGGUACCGCAAGCCGAAGAAGGCGAGGAGUACUCACCGGAUCAGGAAGAACUAUACAACAACAUGGGUCAGUGGAAAUAAACAAGGUAAUGAGCAGAUAUACAAUAGCGAUAAACUGAAAGGAAGUAAGAACUAUACUGAAUAAACGGCUACCGCUACUGUAACUGGAACAGAAAGCAUACAUGAAUAUCUACUAUAGUAGCAAGACAACUAUAAAGUAAGAUCUGUAAGUAUGCAUGCAACGACUGCUACUAUAAACAUAUGCGUCAAUGGGACAAUCAGUCCAAAAGUACCCAAUCUGAAACCAAUGCUCUCUUGGUCAGCACCGCAGACCUCAAGCCAAUGCCCUGGAGGUCCGCACCGCAACACCUCCCGACAGUACCACUGCCGCUCUAACAUGCAUAUAACCCCUCUAGGGCUCACGGGUUGUCACCAUUCAACCACUUUUCCGGAAAAGAACACUCCUUGCGGUGGAUCAGACCGCCAGUGUUCGUGAAAUGCGACGAGUAUCGGGCGAUCAAUGCAAUAUGGUCAAUGAUCAACCGUCGGCAACCAGCCGACAAUCCUGCCCCCCAGGGCCUAUCGACCGCAUAGGUCAUCAACUGUAAAGAAGCACAAGAACCGACCACUCAGGUCAACUAGGAUGGGACAACAUCGACAUCCUCUCAAACAUAUGCAAAUACUGACUAAUCAAGUCAACUGGGAUGGAACAACUCAACAUCCUACCCACAGUAUGUAGAUACUGAUCAAUGAGUCAACUACUGUAUAUAUGCAAGAAUCGGUCAACAAGUCAUCUGAGUAUAUGAUCUAGAACUACCGUCGGCCACUAGUCGACAAUCCUACCCCUCAGGGUACACCGACCUCAAAGGUCAUCAAACAACAAGAGUCAAGGAACAAACCGACUAUAUACAGAUAUAAGAUACAAGAACGAAUCAACUAGGUCACCGAUUUCACAUAAAAUCACGAAACCGCUCUACUCUAAACAUGAUACAGGAUAUGCAGAAUAGCUAAGUAGAGCAACAAAGAAAUAUGGUAUAACUACUCUACUCCUACUCAUGAUAUAAAGAGAACAACCGAGUAGAGUGUAACUGAACAACAUGGUGCUAGGCUCAACACUAUAUAUCAAGAUAUAUAUAUGCUAGAUAAUAACGAAAGAGCAAAGGUAAGAAACCAUCACCGAGCGUGCACCACUGUACCGACGUCGGAUCGAAGUACCCACCUGUACAACUGUCGCGCCUGUCUCCUGACUGCAAAAGAACGUCAACAGGACCUAUGGAGGGUCCACUGGGUUAGUGUCUAACCCACAACUAAGAAAUACUACAUCGUAAUCCCGCUAACAAACCCACGGAGAUCAGUUUCCCAAAACCGACUACCGUAACUCGCCGGAAGUCCCAAAAAUCGCACCGGGACUCCGUCGGGACCCACGAACUGUCCCGAAAUGUUCCAACUCAGGAUACGAGUCACCCGCUGACACAAAACACACCAAUUUGGAUGUCUUGGCAGAAAACACAAGUUAACACAACUACACAAUUAUCGCCGGAUAAUUGUACGAACUCGGGUUCCCGAAAGUGUCAAAUUCGACACCGGAACCCACCGUCGCUCACUCGUCAUUUCUGAACUCUCGAAAUGACGCAAGUGGCCAGAAAACAAGGCUCGGCGACUACACAAUAGCUCACGAAGCACCGUCGGAAUAAUUCCGAACCGAACCCGCGUUCUAUCGGCGGAUUUCGCCGAAAAACGCAUCGAAAAUCACUUUUCGAUUUUCGCAAGGGCUUGGGGCCUUGGACGAUCAGUCCAGAGGUUAUCCUUAGCCCAAACGUGCUGCCAACAGCAUCUACAUCGAAGCAAAAGUCCUAAAAGCCCAUACCGAUACAUGAAAUCGCAUCAUUUCAUGUGAUUUCUAGGCUUUUCUGGACCGUGCACGCAAACCAGAGGUCGAUUAAUCCGACCGUCGCACUCGCUGACAGGUUUCAUCAUGUCGGAGGCCGUGCUCACCUUUCGGAGCACUGCCGACCACUGCGGUGCGCGCACGAGCGACACGAAAUCUGUGAAACAGUGCGCACAGCGCGAAGGUCGCGACUAACUUGCUAACCAGGGCAUCUUUGCCGCUGUCGGAGGUGAGCACGAUGUUCAGCACGAACCCUAGAUCAUCGUGCUCACUUCUCGAGGUGUCGGGGAGUCAUCGGAUCACCAGAAAGGUGGCCGGAAAGCUUAAAUUGCAAUGCUGGAACUCAAAAACAGCAUACCGGAGCAGUGGGAGCUAGGGUUGGUCGCCGGCGGCCGGGAGGCGGGCACUCUGGCCGGGGAUGGGAGCAGCCGGUCCGAGAGGUCCGGGGAGGGUGCUGGCCGGCGGCGGGCGGCAACCGGUGGCGCGGCGGAGGAGAUCGACUCCGCCCAUUCCCUCUCGGGUUCGUGCUUCCCGGCGGCGCGGCGGCGGCCGGAGGAGGUCGGGGCGGCUACGGUGCGGCGCCGGAGGCCGAGGGGAAAGUGGUGUACCCCCCGGUGGGCGGCGGCGGCACUUGGAUGUCGAGCGGGCCCGACCUCGGCCCGCACAGGUCUGGGUAGCUGCAGGAGAUCUCAGCGGCGGCCGGCGGCGCGCGGGGACGGCGGGGGACGCGCGCGCCGGGUUGUCGGAGGUCGCCGGGGCCGACUGGAGGGCGGCACGGCCGAAGUAAGGCGAGGACGCAGAGUUCGAGCUGGCUCGGUCUGGGUUGACCCGAGUUGGCCGCAGGGAGCGGGGGUGGAUCCGGUGGCGCUCGGGGGUGGUCGGGGCCGACGAGGGAGGACGACGGAGAUGGACCUCGGCCAGAGGAUGAUGCUCCAAGGGUGAAAGAAGCUUCCUUCGCAGCUUCGGCGAAGUCGGAGGAGAGGGUGGCCGAGAGAGCAAGAGAAGAGGUCGGGGUGGCUUUUCCGGCGGCCGGGGCAGCUCGCCGGCGGCUGGGGCGUGCGCGCGGGUUGGGCAGGGAGAAGGUGGGGCGGCUAGGGCUCGGUUCGGCUGAGGAGAAAGCCAAAAGCUAGGGUUUCCUCACGAAACCCUAGUGCAACUACUAUUUACAUAUGUACAAUUGCAAGAUAGUCCUCCCAGGGAUAAUAUUCUCAGUCAAGUCCCUCACAGCAUGUGUAUUUUACACAUACGCACCUCCAUGUCCGAUCUCAAGCAAUUCGGCACAUAAAAUAUUAGAUCUUUUCGCGAUUUAACCGUUUUGCCAAUUUGACCUCUUAGCGAUAACUUUGCAAUUACCGGAGAUCCGUCCGUCGGAUUUUCGAUCCGACUGUGCCAUCGCGUUCAGUACAACGGGGGCAUCGAAACUACGAUUUCGUUUCAUCCAAUUUGGUCACGGAUUCGCGACGGAACCCAUCUGCUCUCUAAUUAAUCCAUAUAUCGUACGUAUACCAAUGUGUAAACCCAUUAAACCAACUUUCGUAUUAGAAAUUGACUUCCCUACCACUAGUAGGGACCCGAAACAUUCUUCACCCUACUCCAGGUCACAAGCACGGGGCACGAGAAGCUUUAGAAUGCACAGAAAAGCAAAGAGCGGAAACCCUCUUUUCGGUAAAACUCCUUUUUCUCGAAAAUCGUGCAUCAGAUCUGAAAUCCGUCAGUGCCAUUGGUUCCAGAACAGCUGAACCGAUCGAAACGAGCUAUUGGAUCGCUAUGAACGGAGUCCGAUAAGCGCCGAAAGCCAACUCUACUCCGUGGCUUCACCGAAAAACUGGAGUUACUAUUCACUUAAGUGAAAACUAAUAAUCACGUAACUUCUCCGUUCUAGCUCAUUUUCUCCUGAAACUUGACGAGUGCUUAUGUAAUUAAAUUACACACAUAAAUAUCGUCAACAGAGAGUUUAGUUGCACUGUAAAAAUCUCAAUCCUUACAGCUCAACGUGGGUUUGCCAAUAGAUCUGCCGCAUACACAAGAAGCCUUGUGUAUACGAAGCGAUAGUAGUACUUGUAAAGUAUAAAAGAACAACUAUAAGCAAGUAAUAGGAUUGUAAAAAACUGCUAAAACUAAAACAUGAUCCACUGUACAUACAUAAGAUCUAGGGAGUACAAUAAAGAAAUCCAAAAGUACAAACAUCAUCUCUCGCAAUUGUAAAAUAAUAUAUAUAUAUAUAUAUACGUAUAAUAUAUAUAUAGAACGUUCGGCUACUAUGCUUAUCGUAGCACGAGCGCUCCGUGCUACCAAGUUGUUUUCGAUGAUGCGGCUUUCUGAUCGACGAUCGGCUCCGUUAGACUUGAUCGAACACUAUUGAAAGUAUUUGAAACUAAAUUUCAAAUUUUUUCGACAUCAUUUGACUAGUGAUCAAAAGAUCUCAAAAUUGACAAUUUUAAUGGCCGAUGUGGGUGUGUUUGUGAGUUAACGGUGUAAAAAUAAUCCAAAUGCGAUGAAAAAUUUAUAUAAAAAUUCUUUUCACUAUUUAGAGUAAGAUCAGUAUAUCUUUUUUGAAUUAAUCUUUUUAUAUCAUUUUUCUAUGAGAUUUUUAUUUUCAGCCGUUCAAUUUUAGACCUACUUGUUUGAUAGGUAAAUAAUAUUCCGAAAACACACUUAUGAACACUUAUUUCUAAAUACUUUCCCACAUAGUAUAGAUUCAAGCUCAACCGGAGCCGAUCGGUCGACUUCUGGAAGUAGCAUCAUCGAAAACAACUUGGCAGCACGGAGCGCUCCGUACUAUCGAUAGUAUAGUAGCCUAGCUCAUAUAUAUAUAUAUAUAUGUAUGUAUGUAUAUAUGUAUAGCAUAGUACUAAUAUAAUAAUAUAGAUAUAUCUAUAUAUAUAUAUGUAUACAUAUAUACAUACAUAUAAUAUAGAUAUAUGUAUAUAUAUUAUAUAUGUAUUAUAUAUAUAUAUACAUAUAUAUAUUACUAUAUAGAUAUAUUAUAUAUGUAUAUAGAUAUAUUACAUAUAUGUAUAUAGAUAUAUCACAUAGAUAUAUAUAGAUAUAUAUAUAUAUAUACUAUAUAUAUAUAUAUACUGUAUAUAUAUAUAUAGUAUGUUAUAUGAUUAUAUCUAUAUCUAGAUUGUAGGAUAUACAUAUAUAUAUAUAUAUAUAUAGUAUAUACACAAUAUAACAUAUAUAUAUAUAUAUUACAUAUAACAUAUAUAUGUAUAUCUACAUACAUAUAUACUAUAUGUAUAUCUACAUAUAUAUAUAAUAGUAUAUAUAUUAUUGUAUAUCUAACAAUAUAGAUAUAUAUGUAUAUAUAUAUAUAUAUUAUAUAUAUAUAUACUGUAUGUAUAUAGUAUAUACUAUAGAAAUUUAAAUAUUCUGUAUAUUAUAUAUAUAUACAGGAUAUACAUAUAUAUAUAUAUAUGUAUGUAAUAUAUAGUAAUAUAUAGUAUAUCUAUAUAUAUAUAGGGUAGUUAUACCAGAUAUAUAUAACCUACCUAUAAUCAUGUAUAUAUAUAGGUAAUACAUAGGUAGGUUAAUACAUAUAUAAUAUAGUAGAAGGUGGUAUACAAUAUAUUAGGGGGGGGGUAGGUUAUAUAACCUACCUAUAUAUAUAUAUAUAUAUAUUAGUUUAGUAUUAAUAUUUAUAUAUAUAUAAUAUAUAUAUACUAUAUAUAUUUAUAUAAUUAUAUAUUAUAACCUACAAUCUAUGAUAUAUAUAUAACCUCCUAUAUAUGGUUAUAUAUAUAUAUAAUAUGUAUAUAAUAAUAUACCUAAUCUAUAUAUAUAUAUAACCGAGUUGGGCUGGGGUGCUUUCGGAAAGAAGCACGGAGCGCUUCCGUGCUUCCACUUUGUUUUCCGAUGUUCGGACUUUCGAAUCGACGAUCGGCUCCGUUAGAGUUGAUCUACGAGCUAUUUAAAGUACCAAGAAUUAAAUUUUGCGAAUUUUUCGAUAUCAUUUGCCUUAAGUGAUCCGAAGGGGCUUCAAAAUCAAUAAUUUUAACGGCCGUGGUGAGCCAGUUUGCAAGUUUAACGGUAUAGAAAUAUCCCAAAUCCACGGAAAAUUUUGAUAGAAUUCUUUAUUACCAUAUAAAACAAGAUCAAUACUUUUGUGAUCUAAAUUUUAAUGGUCGAUAUCAUCAUAUUUUGGUGAGAUUUUUAUUUUCAGCCGUUAUUUGAGCCACUUCGAUCACUAGGGCAAAUGAUAUCGAAAAAUCGCAAAAUUUAUUUUCUAGAUACUUCAAAUACCUAGAUCAAGUCAUAAACGGAGCCGAUCGUCGAUUUGAAAGUCCCAACAUCGGAAAACAAAGUGGAAGCACGAGCGCUCCGUGGCUUCUGAAAGCACCCCCAGACGCUACUCAUAUUAACUUACCUAUAUAUGUAUAUAGUAUAUAGGUAGGUUAUAUUAUAAUAUAUAUACAUAUAUAGGUAGGUUAGUAUAGUAUAUACUAUAUAGGAGUUAUAUAUUAUAUAUAUAGUAGGUAGGUUAUACAUAUAUAUAUAGUUAGGUAGGUUAUAUUAUAUAUAAUAUAAGAUAUAUAUAUAGGUAGUUAGGUAGAUGUAUAUAUAGUAUAUAUAUGAACUAUAUAUAUAUAACUAUAUUAUAUAUAUAUAGGUUAAGUUAUGUAUAUAUAUAUUAUAUAUAUAUUAUAUAUAUAUAUAUAUAUAUAUAGUAUAUAUAUAGUUAGUAGUAUAUAUGUAUAUAUAUAUAGGGUAGGUAGAUGUAUGUAUAUAGGUAGGUUAUAUAUAUAGUAUAUAUAUAUAUAUAUAUAUAUAUAUAUAUAUAUAUAUAUAUAUAGAUAUAUAUAUAUAUACAUAUAUUAUAAUAUAUAUAUGUAUAUACAUAGUAUAUAUAUAUCUAGUAUAUAUAUAUAAUAUAUAUAUAUAUAUAUAUAUAUAUAUAGUAUAUACUAUAAUAUAUAUAUACAUAUAAUAUAAUAUAUCUAUAUUAUAUAUAGUAUAUAUAAUAGUAGGUAGGUUAUAUACCUGAUAUAUUUAUAACCAACAUAUAUAUUAUAGGUUGUUAUACAUAUAUAUAUAUAGUCAUAACCUACUAUAUAUAGUAGUUUAUAUACUAUAUAGGUAGAUUAUACAUAUAUAUAUAUAGGGGUAGUUAUAUAUAUAUAUAGAGAGUAGUUAUACAGAGUAUAUAGGUAGGUUAUAACCUACCUAUAUAUGUAUAUAUUAUUAUAACCGUACAUCGUAUGUAUAUUAUAACCCACCUAUAUAUGUUAUAUAUAUAUAUGUAUAUUGUAGGUAACUACGUAUAUAUAUAUAUAGCUAUAUAUAUAUAUAUAGUAUAUAUAUAUUAAGUAUACAUAUAGUAUAUAUAUAUAUAACUACAGUCGUAUAAUUAUAUAACCUACCGUAUAGUAUGUAUAGUAUAUAUAGGUAAUACAGAUAAGUAUAUAUAUAUAUAUAUAUAUAUAUAGUAUAUUAGUAUAUAUAUAUAUAUAGGAUUAUAUAGUAGUAUAUAUAUAUAUAAUACGUAUAUAUAGUUAUAUAUAUCUGUAUAACCUACCUAUAUAUAUAUAUGAUAUAUAUAUAUAUAAAUAUAGAUAUACUAUAUAUGUAUAUAGAUAUAUCUAUAUAUAGCAUAUAUAGAUAUAUCUUAUAUAUAUAUACAUAUAUACAUAUGAUAUAUAAUAUAUAUAUACAGUAUAUAUAUAUAUAGUAUAUAUAUAUAUAUAUAAUCUUAUAUGUAUAUAUGUAUAUAUAUAUAGAUAUAGUCUAUAUAUGUACUAUAGUAUAUAUAUGGAGUCGGUACUAUACUAUCGGUAGCACGGAGCGCUCCGUGCUACCAAGUUGUUUUGAUGAUGCGGCUUCCAAAUCAACGAUCGGCUCCGUUAGACGUUGAUCUACACUAUUGAAAGUAUUUGGAAACUAAAUUUCAAGGUUUUUUUUACAUCAUUGACUAGUGAUCAAAAGAUCUCAAAAUUUGACAAUUUUAAUGGGCCUAUGUGGUGUUUGUGAGUUUAACGGCUGUAAAACAAUCCAAAUGCGGAUGAAAAUUUUAUAGAAUUCUUUUCACUAUAUUAGAGAAAGAUCAGCAUAUCUGAUCUUGGAAUUUAAAUCUUUAUCAUCCAUUUUUUAUGGAGCAUUUUUAUUUCAUGCCGUUCAAUUUGUGAGGGCUACUUGUGUUGGUAGGUUAAAUGGUAUUGAAAAAUUAUAAAAUUUAGUUUUCUAAAUACUUUUUUAAAUGAGUGUAGAUCAAGUCUAACGGAGCCCGGAUCGUCGAUUUGGAACCGCAUCAUCGAAAACAACUGGUAGCACGAGCCGCUCCGUUGCUACCGAUAGUAUAGUCAGCCUAGCUUAUAUAUAGUAUAUAUAGGUAUAUAUAUAGUAUAAGUAUAGUAAGUAUAUAUAUAUAUACAUAUAUAUGUAUAUAUAAUAUACAUAUUUAUGUUAUAUAAUAUACAUAUAGUAUGUUAUAUAAUCUAUAUAUGAUACUAUAUGUAGUAUAUUUUGUAUACAUAUAUAUAUGUUAUAUAUGUAUAUACAUAUAAUAUAAUAUAUAUAUGUAUAUUAUAUGUAUAUAUAAUAGUAUAUAUGUAUAUGUAUAUGUAUAUAUAUAUAUAUAUUAUGUAUAGUAUAUAUAUGUAGUAUGUAUAUGUAUAUGGUAUAGCUUAUAUAUAUUAUAUAUAUAGUAUUAUAGUAUAUAUGUAUAUAGAUGGGGUAUACAUUAUAUAUAAUGUAUAUAUAUCAUGAUAUGGUAUGGUACUCCGUGCUGUAUAGUAUAUAUAUAUAUGUAUGGUAUAUAGUAGUAAAUAUAUGUAUGUAUAAUAUAUAUGUAUGUAUAUAUAUAUAUAUGUAUAUAAUAUAUUAUGUAUACAUAACAUAUAUAUAUAGUGGUUAGUACGAGUGUUUGAUUAUUAAGAGUAGAUAGUGUAGAGGUACAUAUGAUUGAUAAUUGUAUAAGAGGGGAUACAGGAUAUAUAUAGUAUGUAUAGUGAUAUAAUAUUNNNNNNNNNNNNNNNNNNNNNNNNNNNNNNNNNNNNNNNNNNNNNNNNNNNNNNNNNNNNNNNNNNNNNNNNNNNNNNNNNNNNNNNNNNNNNNNNNNNNUUAUUUAUAGACUUUAGAAUCAAUCGGAGUCGAAUUAGAAAGUUUUCACGGUUUUACACUGUGUACUGGUACACUUUAAGCUGUUACCGGUUACACGAUGACGGAACGAAAAACCUGACGAAACAGUGAAACCGGUUACAUCCUUGAUGGUCGUACUGGUACACAUUUUGUACCGGUACACUUCUGAUGCUGUACCGGUACACUUUGCAAAUUUCCGCCGUUUCGGGUUUUGCAAAGUCCCAAUGCACUUUCUAAUUCGUUAGACAUUGAUAACAUGAUUCUAAUGUCUACAACUAAGUAUGAAUCACCAUAACAUGAAUUUAUACUUUACCUGAGCAUCGUGAUUCAUAUCGUGAGUUAUUUUCCAACUUUUUCAAAAUCCUGAUUUCUUCGAUCUUCGACGAUAUGCACUGGUUCUUCAAGACUCCGACUCACUUCACGAAACUUGCCAAUACACAAGACUUAACAACCUUAGGCCGGUUGGACUAUAGGAAAUAGGCUCGUGAGAGACGAGGUCUAUUUGACUUGUGAGCGAAAGUAUCAUGAUUGGGUAUCUUGAUAACUCUAUAAAGUUGGAGUUGAUCGAAGUGUAUGACUUCUAACUUCGCGGAGGGUUACGUUGGCGGCCGACAACGUAACAUCGGGAGUUAGUGGUGAAGAACACUUCCUUACUUUCGCAUGAUUUGGGUAUUAUCUUUUGAGCGGGGGUUCGAUAGCGUGGGUUUACUAACUUGCGCUUUUAUGAUGUUGUAGUGACGAUGCCGAUUACACGCUCUCAAUCUACCAGAGCGGAUAAUGCGGCAAACUUGGAGGAGGUCGAGACCUCCGCUACCUCCGGAUCCGGUGAGGUCCGUGAGUUGAGGGGCCAGCUUGCGGCCCUCACUGAUAUGGUGGCACAGCAGACAGAGGCAGCGCGCCGGCAGGAGGCGCGGAUGAAGCGCCUGGAGGACCUUCUUCUGCAACAGGCGGCAGCUUCCAGGGAAACUCAGGCCCCUACACCGCCAGCACCAGUCGUGGACGUCACGCCGAGAGCGCCAUCCCCCGCGCCCAGUUCUUCGUGAGCAGCGCCCAUGGCCGCGCCUCAGGAGGAGGCUAUCGCGGCACCACCUGUGCAGAGGCCCCCAGUUGGAGCAGCUUUCCCUACCUUGGUCGAGGGAGUGGAGCGGGACCGACUCAUGGAGCGCCUCAACGAGUUCAGGAGGUGCAGUCCCCGAAUCUUCGACGGCGAGAAGGUCGACCACUGGAUCGUAGAGAAGUGGUUGAUGCAUAUGGAGAAGCUCUUUCGCGACACCUUCGUGGAGGAGAGGGAUCGGGUUUGGCUCGCCACACACCACCUGGACGGCGAGGCCUAUCGCUGGUGGUUGGAUCUCCAGGAGCACCCCAGCACUGAUUUGGCAGCUAUUACUUGGAAGAGGUUCAAGGAGCUUCUUUUGGCGCAUUACUUCCCGACUAGCGUCAAGAGGAAGAUGGAGCAGGAUUUGCGCAACUUGCGCCAGGGAGACAGGACAGUAGCCGAGUACGAGCGGGAGUUUUCUCGGCUUUUACAUUGCGUGCCUUUCGUCGUGCGGGACGACGAGGACAAGGCCCGCAUCUUCGAGCGAGGGUUGCGACCGUCGAUCUUCCGGUUUGUGCAAUCCUCUAACCUCCAAACCUACCAGGAGGUGGUGGAUCGCGCGCUCAUCGUGGAGAGCGGCACGGCAGAUGUCCAAGAGCGGCGAGAGGCUAUGGACAAGGGUAAGGCCAAGAGGCCUGCGGCUGAGGGUGCGAGCCAGACGCACUCUAGGAGGCCGCCGAAGCAUCCUAGGAGCCAGCAGCGUGGGCGUGGCUCGGCGACUCACCAUGGAGGUUCUGACCGACGCCGACCUCCCCAGUGCGUGAUCUGUGGUGGCCCCCACAUUCCACCGCAGUGCCCGCAGCGAGGAGGGAGGUGUUUCCAGUGUGGCCAGGAGGGCCACUUUCGGACCGAGUGCCCGAGGGGUUCGUCACCGGCACCGUCAUCUGCAUCGGCACCGGCUCUACCAGCCGCCAGCCACGGGACUCCAUCAGCGCAGUACCAGCUCGGGCGGCCACCCGCCCAGCGCCAGAGCGAGGGUUCUCGACAGGCCCCGAGUGGGCGUAUGUAUGCCGCUCAGACCGAGGAGGCGGCAGCAGCCGAGGAUGUGGUCGCAGGUAUCAUUUUUACUUGAUGCAUUAGAGUUCGUGCAUUAUUUGAUACCGGUGCAUCGCAUUCAUUCAUAGAUCGGCUGUUUGCCGAGUUGCAUGGCAUCCCUAUGUUUUCUUUGUUGCAUCCGGGACGUGUAGUUGUCCCUGACCACUCUUUGGAUAUUAGAGAGUAUUGCCCCAGUUGCCCUAUUCGGGUAGGAGAUUGGAUUAUGUCCGUGGACUUGCUAGCCUUGCGCAAGCUGGGGGAGUUUGAUGUGGUCUUAGGCAUGGAUUGGUUGACCAAGUUUUAUGCCACGAUAGAUUGCAAGAAUCGCACGGUUACUUUUAGAGAACCGGGGCAAGUUGAGGUGAUAUUUAGAGGAUGCCAGAGUUCGCUUUUUGCGAUGACGAUCAGCUCGUCUCGAGCUAGGCAACUGAUCAGCAGAGGUUGUGUAGCCUACUUGGCUAGUGUUGUGUUGAGGGGCGAGGGUGAUACCCCGAGGAUUGAGGAUAUUCCGGUGGUACGGGAGUUUUGUGACGUGUUUCCAGCUGAGCUACGGGGCAUGCCACCCGAUAGGGAGAUUGAGUUUGUGGUAGAUCUCAUCCCUGGGACUACUCCAAUCUCGAAAGCGCCCUAUAGGAUGUCACCGGCGGAGCUGAAGGAGCUGAGGGCACAGCUGCAGGAUCUUCUGGAUAAAAGCUUCAUUCGACCGAGCGUCUCGCCUUGGGAAGCACCAGUUUUGUUCGUCAAGAAAAAAGACGGAUCACUUCGCCUAUGCGUGGACUAUCGCGAACUUAAUAAAGUCACGAUUAAGAAUAAGUAUCCGUUGCCGAGGAUCGACGACUUGUUUGAUCAGCUUCAGGGAUCGUGUGUGUAUUCCAAGAUCGAUUUGCAGUCGGGAUACCACCAGUUAAAGAUCAAACCCGAGGAUGUAUCGAAGACGGCUUUUAGAACCCGGUAUGGACAUUAUGAGUUCACUGUUAUGCCGUUCGGGCUUACUAAUGCCCCCGCAGCUUUUAUGGAUCUAAUGAAUCGUGUUUUUAAGCCUUAUCUAGACAGGUUCGUCGUGGUGUUCAUAGACGAUAUUUUGGUUUAUUCCCGAAGUGAUACAGAUCACGAGGAGCAUUUGAGGCUUGUACUUCAAGUACUUCGGGAAAAGGAGCUCUAUGCCAAGCUAAAAAAGUGUGAAUUUUGGCUUCGAGAGGUAGCUUUUCUUGGACAUUUGAUUUCAGGAUAGCUGUGGAUCCUAAGAAGAUUGAAGCAAUCAAGGAUUGGCCGAGACCGACGAGCGUCACGGAGAUACAGAGCUUCCUUGGAUUGGCCGGGUACUACCGGAGAUUUGUUGAGGGGUUCGCCAAGCUGUCUACUCCCCUCACGAGGCUCUUAGGAGAGACCGGUCUCCCAGGGACCGGUCCCUCAGGUGAGGACCGGUUCCCGAACGCGAAAAGUCCCCAGACUGCAGGGAGAGCUCUCGGGGACCGGUCCCUUGUCGGGGAGACCGGUCCCUCUGGGCGAAAACAGCCCAGUGAUAGCAGGUUGAGAGAUGAAAAGUUGAGGGGCUAAAGUAGAUUUUGUUACAAUAGAGGGGCAUAUUAGCCCACUCCCCCUCUCAGCCUCUCAUUUCUCUCUCUCCCUCACUCUCAUUUCUCUCUCGCUCUUUCUCUCUCUAAAAAGGAAAGGAGAAAAAGAAGAACAAGAAGGAGAGGAAGGAAAAGAAGAAGAAGAUAAGGAAGGAGAAGAAGAAGGAGAUCAAGAGGAAGGCUUUGAGCACCUCCAUCUCCCUCUCCUCUUCUCUUUGGUGUAGCUCGUGAGGUAAGCUACUAAACCCUAGCUUCUAGAACUUAGGGUUUUGGGUUUUUAUGCUUUGGAGUGGGUCAAAUGGACCCUAGGCAAGCUUCUAAGUAGAUCAAUCCCUUGAUUCUAGGGUUUUAUCGGUGGGUUGCUAUAUGUGCAACCUAGGGCUCCAAAUGGGGCAUUUUGUAAAGUAUGAGAUUGAUCUCAUUUGAGGCCUUGUAAACCCCAUCGAUAGGUGCCCAAACGCGGGGGCGAAGUCGAUUUCGCGAUUCGUCAAGCGGGCUUAGAGCAAUCGGCGGAUUACGGUCGUUUCGGCGCUAUCUUGGAUUAGGGAAGGCUAAAGCCUUUUCGUAAAGCUCGCCGAGGAGCGUUCUUGAGGCCUCUACGUUGAUAAAAGGUGGGGGGUGUCAUCCCGAAGCUUUCGAACUCCUUUCUAUGUCUUAGAUUGCAUUUAAUCUCAUCUCUUCAUGUUGCAUUGUAGGAUUGCAUAGUAGCUCCAUUCCUUAUGCUUUCUAAAUGAUAACCUAGUGUACUUGGAACGCUUGGUAACUUAGAUAGGUGAGGAUUGGGUCGGAACGUGGAUCCUAUGAUGUAAAAGAAAAGAGGUGAACCCGAUGGGGGUAUUGAUGACAUAGAAGGUAGUGUUAGUGUUAAAGAACACAUGAGUGGCAUCCAAAUGUUAAAUGAUGACGAGUGGCAUUAAUGUAGUGUAUAUGACACUAGAGGUUUGAGAACCUAGGGAUAGGUGGAUCCCUUAGAAAAUGCCUUGUGAACAAUGAAUUUAGAAAACUAAAUAGCAUUGCAUGAAUGUCGGGAACCGAUGAUUCCGCGAUAGUCGUUGACCCUAGUGUAGGGCGUCCUCACUUGGAGAGGAUUCGAUUGGGUUAUUGACUCUAGUUGUAGAGCCUCCUCACUUGGAGAGGAUUGGAUUGGGUGUUGACCCUAGUUACAGUGUAUCCUCACUUGGAGAGGAUAGAUCUAGCUCACAGUCUGCGUUUAGGAUGGUAUAGCCAUCCAAUCCCCACAUGGAGGGGAUUGUCGUCGAGUACUCCGGAGUGUCGCGCGACUAGGACCACUUGGAGGUCCGGACCACAUGGAGGUCCGCAGACGGUCCCGGGCUUGGGUGCACUUGGAGCUCCCUCCCCACUUUGGGAUUGGAAGAUGAGUUAUGGGUGAGCCCUAGGGCCUCGCCACAGAUUGGGUAAAUGAAAGGUUAAAGGUUUAAUAAAUGUCAUUGAACAUAGCUAUUCGAACAUGGAUCGAAUUUGGUAGCAUGGUAGCAAACCUUUAUUAUAUGAUGCAUGCAUUCAUAUUCAUGAUUAUGGGCAUAGUAGCAUAGUUUUCCUACUACUGCAUUUACAGCUUUCAGAUACAUAUCUAUCUAUCUAUCUAUCUGUUGUUACUUGUGCCCACUUGGACCUAGUGGGGAGAUCGGCAGAGUCGGCGGCCGAGCCCACUGGGAACUAUGGAAGAUAGUUCUCACCCCACUCUAUUUUCAGUAGUAGGUACAGGGUUAUCGAGAGAGGACCACGGCAAGGGCAUCGCGCCCGAUCAGUGAGACCGUGGUAGUAUAGUAGCUUUCCUUUUGCAGUAGCACACCUAUGUAUUGCGAGAGAUUCAUGUAGGUGAGGCUGGAGAGUUAUGUAUUUUGAGGAUCAAAUGUAUUCAUUUUGGAAAAUGAUGUAAAUGUAAAGAAUGCAACUAUUGUAAUAGUUAGUAAAGUACUCUCUUUAUUUCACUCGUAUAUCUUGUGGAUUACUUGCUCUUCUUGUUGUUGGCACUGUUUGUGCCCUCGUUGAAUAUGUAUGUUUAGAAUUUAAAGCCCUGGGUAAAUUCUUGUGCACAUUCAUGUUAUUGAGCCUUGGGCGGACAGGAGAGGUGCUGUCCGUUCGGCGGACCGUCGCCACGGCCGAAUCGUGCCAAAUUGGUAGUGGUUUCGGGGCGGGGCGUGACAGCCAGCCUCUCGCCAACUUCACUCCAAUGAAGUGGCGAUCUACACUUCCGUCCAUAAAGUGCCUCGAAGGGUGCCAUCUUGAUGCUUGCUUGAUAACUAUUGUUAUAAGCAAACUCCGCCAUCGGUAGAUGCUGCGACCAUCCUCCCUGGAAGUCAAUCACACAUGCUCGGAGCAUAUCCUCUAAAGUACGAAUGGUGCGCUCCGACUGUACGUCACUCUGAGGGUGGAAAACAGUGCUGAAAUCCAAUCGGGUGCCCAAGGCGUCCUGUAGACUCCUCCAAAAGUGAGACACAAACCGAGUGUCUCGGUCCGAUACUAUCGAUAUAGGCACUCCAUGAAGUCGCACAAUCUCAUCAAGGUACACUUGUGCGAGCUUCUCUCCGGUCCAAGUAGUAUGAAUAGGUAUGAAGUGUGCCGACUUCGUCAACCUAUCCACGAUCACCCAUAUAGCCUCAUGCCCGGCCUGAGAGCGGGGCAAUCCAGUCACGAAAUCCAUGGUGAUCUUCUCCCACUUCCACACGGGAAUAGGCAAACUCUGAAGUUUUUCCGCGGGUAAUCGAUGCUCAGCCUUUACUUGUUGGCAAGUUAGACAACGAGCUACAAACUCGCCAACAUCCUUUUUCAUCCCGGGCCACCAAUAGAAUAACUUUAAGUCCUUGUACAUCUUGGUGCCAUCCGGAUGUACAGCAUACGGUGCUCGGUGUGCUUCAUGAAGAAUGUCCUCUUUGAUUUCCGCAUCCGCCGGUACACAUAACCAUCCGCGAAAACACAUCAAUCCUUGGUCAUCCACAAGGAAAUCGCCGGUGCAACCAUUAACCAUUUUAUCUCUAAUCUUUUGCAACUCCGUAUCGGAAGCUUGCUUCUCUUUAAUCCUAUCCACAAGUGUAGGUUGCACCACCAAAGUCAUCAACCUUAAAGACGUGUCUGGAGUCACUACCUCCAACUCCAACCGCUUCAUAUGCUCGAUCAACUGCGGUUGAGCCACAACAUGCAUCGCUAAGUUUUCUGUCGAUUUCCUACUUAGCGCAUCCGCCACCACGUUAGCCUUGCCCGGGUGGUAUAAAAUUGUCAGGUCGUAAUCCUUGAGCAGUUCCAACUAUCUGUGCUGUCUCAAGCUCAACUCCUUCUGAGUGAACAAGUACUUCAAGCUCUUGUGAUCCGUGUACACUUCACACCGCUCGCCAUAAAGAUAGUGGCGCUAUAACUUCAAUGCGAAGACUACGGCCGCCAACUCCAAAUCAUGCGUCGGGUAGUUCUUUUCAUAUUCCUUUAGUUGGCGCGAAGCAUACGCGAUCACUUUGCCAUCCUGCAUCAACACACAACCCAAUCCAUUAAGUGAAGCAUCACUAUAAACCACAUACCCUGCUCCAGCCAUCGGCAGGGUUAGGAUCGGGGCGGUCGUCAAUCUUUGCUUCGAUUCUUGGAAGCUUCUCUCGCAUGCAUCAUUCCAAAUGAACUUGACUCCUUUAUGCGUGAGACCGGUUCCCGAAAGGGGAACCUUCAGGACUUAGCCAAAUUUAGGCUUCCUCUCGCGGGUGUCGCGCACGGGGACCGGUCCCCUCAGCCAGGGACCGGUCGCAUCGGCCUUGCCCCGCGACCCUCAGCUACGGGGACCGGUCCUUCCCUCUAGGGACCGGUCCCCGAGAGCAAAAAUCUGCUGAGUCCAGAUUUUAUCUAUUUGCUCUCGCGGACUCAACUCCAAAGCACUUUUUGUGUUUUGGGCAUUCUUAACUCCCACAAAGGGUAUUCUCUCGACAGUGAGUCGAUCCUGGACAAAGUACAAUCCUCGUAUUUCGAGAAUUCACUUCCUUACACUGGCAUUAGGCUCUGACGUGCUCCAGGAAGCUGAGGACAAGAUUCGUAUUGCUCGGGAGCGACUUUUGACGGCACAGAGUAGACAUAGGAGCUACGCCGACCGACGACGGUGAGACUUGGAGAUCCAAGUUGGAGACCAUGUUUUCUUAAAGGUCUCGCCGACUAGAGGGAUCAGGAGAUUCAGGAUUCGGGGAAAGUUGAGCUCCCGUUUCAUUGGACCGUAUGAGAUUUUGGAACGUGUAGGUCCGGUAGCGUAUCGACUUGCUCUACCACCGAACCUAUCGGGCGUACACAACGUCUUCCAUGUAUCGGUCCUUCGGAAGUACAUCUUCGACCCGACUCAUGUGUUGGAUGCUACACCUGUGGAGUUGCGGGACGACUUGAGCUUCGAGGAGCAACCAGUGAAGAUCUUGGCUCGCGAGGUUAAGAAACUACGGAAUCGGGACAUUCCGUAUGUAAUGGUCCUUUGGAGCAACCACGAGGAUCGGGAGGCCACGUGGGAGCUAGAGAGCGCGCUGCAGGAGCGCUAUCCCCAUCUCUUACAGAUGGAGUCUUGAGGUAUGUAGUUUGAUUUCGAGUUUCGCGGACGAAACCCCUUUUUAGGAGGGGUGAAUGUAACACACUGGACCUUUGCAAAUUGCGAGGUUCAAGUGUUUGAUCUGUGUUCCGAGCUUUGCCAGAUAUUCUGGAAGGUCGUUGACAGUGUUUUGACCUAUGGCUCGCAUCCCAAGAAUUGAGGUUUAAAGCUUGUACCAAAAUCCAAAAAGAUGGAUUGUUGGUCCUGCUCUCGGGUCAGCCUCAGCCAGGCUGUGUACCGGUACAGCCUUGAUGGUUGUACUGGUACAGGAUUUGUACCGAUACACCUUGAUGAUUGUACCGGUACACUUCGGGUUUUCUACCAACCCGAGGCUCGGGUUGGGCUGUUUCAUAGGAAGUGUACCGGUACACUUUCCCGUGUACCGGUACACUUUCCCGUGUACCGGUACACAAUGCAGACUGGGCUGUUUUCGAGGAGGGGUGUAUUUGCAAUUAUUGCAACCUCUUUAAAUACCACCCCAGCCCCUUUAGCUGCUCUUUUGAGCCCUAGACCUGUGGAGAAAAGGUGAGAACUCUUCCCCUUUGGAUUCUUCUCCAUUUUUGGUGGAUUUUAGUUGGUUUUGAUCUCUCCUUUCUUCUCCUCCUUGUUUUUUGUUGGGUUUCCUCCAUUGUUGAGACUUGGAGCUUGAAGAAGAGCUUGUUUGAGAAGAGAUCUCCAACCCUACUUGGUUUGGAGCUUGGUUUGGGGCAUCUUGUGAGGUUUGUAGCAUGUAUUUCUCUUUUCAUACAUGUUUUAGUGGAUUUGGAUCUUGUAACCCUAGAUUUUGAGAUUUAGGGUUAGAACUAGGAACUUUUGAUUUGAGGCUUCUAGAACCAAAUUGAUUGGUUUAGAAUCAUGGUUUAGGUUGGCUUUGAAGGAUUCUUACUCCCUUUUGGAAAUCAAGAGAGAUUUUCACCAUUUUCGGUGAGUUUUUAGCCCUUUCUUUGAGUUGCUUAAUGUUUGAACUCAUGAAUUGUCGUUUCGAUGUUACUCCCCUAGCCUAUCUCUUAGGGUGCUAGGAGUGAUUAUCGAAGCUUCGUUAGCGUUUCGGACGCCCGCGCGGAGCUUUUGGUGGGUUCGGCUUCAUGUGAAUAGGGGAAAAUUCCUCCUAAGGGGUUAAUAUGUGUUGUAUUAUCAUUUUGCAUGCAUUUUCAUACUAGAUAGGAUUUAUGUGAAUUUUGAAUACUUAAAAUGCAUGUGUUGCGUAUCAUGAAAAUCCUUCUCUACAUAGUAGAGCAUUAUGUGUAGUGUACAUGAAUGUUUAAAGUAUUCUCUUUUUCAAGUUGGAAAAUAUGUUGCAUGUGAGGAAGAUGGUUGAAAUAUGUAUUCAUGAAUAUUAAACUCAUGUUUGAAUAUAGUGAACUAGAAUGCCAUAAAGGGGCACUUGACUUAGCAAAUUGUGAAAUUGCAACAUAGAGACAUAGUGAUAGGCCAUCGAGACAUAUGCUAUAUUUCAUGUUUUAGACAUGACGACAUAGUGAUAGGCCAUUGAGAUAUUUUCCACAUUCCAUGUUUUAGACAUGAUGACUUGGUAUUUGAGACGGACUUUUACGCUUGCUUGCCAUUGUGCUCAUUCACACAUGCUUGUAAGGGUCGCUCCCUACAAGCCGGCACUCCGGAGAUAGCCAUCGCGACAUAUGCUCGCUCGUGCGGGAUUGGGCGCCGAAAUGGAAUGCCGUGGGGGAAGCUCAUUCCUAGAGUGGGGAUGUUGACUACCACGGGGCCAUUAGGCACGGCGCAGGCCAGACAGCCUACGGAUGGGUCUUACAUGAUUGGAACUUAGUGACAGAACAUGCCAUUUGGACUUUGACCAGAAUAGUAAACAAUGACAUUUACUAUUUAGCUUGUGGACAUUAUGUUAGUGAUGCUCGUUUAUAUUCUGUUACAGUAGCUUUAUUACUUAUGCAAUUCAUGCUAAGUAGAGAUAUCAUGUUGUAGUAAGUUACAUGUUUACUUACAUAUCGAUUCUAUUGCUUUUAUUGUUACUUACCUGUUUAGCUCUUUUGGGCCUAGUGGUGCUUUCACUGAAGUCAGUAAUUGCCACUGGGAACUAUUAUUUAAUAGUUCUCACGCCCCCGUUUCUAUGGUUUUAUUUCAGAGCCCUCUACACCGGUGGAGGCACGGGACCGCGGCAAGGGGAUCGCUUAGCUAGCUAGCGAGGAGCGUUUCUUUUGCAUUUUGGUAGUUCGCUCUCCUUUUGUUGUAGUUGAGAGAGAGAGAGUUAUGUUAGUACCUUGUAUAGAGAGACCACCUAUGUAUCUGGUUUAGCAUUUGUACUUUGGAUGUUUAUUGUACUACUUUCUAUUUUUUCUUAGUGGAUUUAGCUCUAUAUUCAUUUCGGUUAUUGUAGCAUCUAGACAUACUUGCUCUGAUACUGCUAGAUGUUUUCUUUAUCUUGCUUUAUUUAUCGUUUUAUUUUAGACGCCUUAUAUGUUUUAGACGUAUGCCGGGUCUGGGCACGUGCCGGGCGGGCUUUCGCUGGGUCCCGGGGCGUGACAACGGAACUCAUAGCAAGUAUGAUCCAUUCUUAACUCUAAGGAUAUAUAGUUCAAUCAUUGUCUUUACACUAACUCUAGUGUUCUUUACAUCACUUUAUUUUGCUAACUCUAGCAAUCAUCGUUCUUUAACUUUACUCGUUCUUUAUGCCAAACUUUGCAUUAACUUUAACCAUUAUCAUUGUUCUUUUCAUCACAUUGAUUCUUUGAUGCCACACACUAACUUUAGUGUCGACUAUAUACUUUCGAAUGCCACUCGAUCUAUGCUCAUUGUGUCUCGUUGUUCUUUUGCCUCACUUGGGUGCUCACAUUUUAUCUCAUGCAUACAUAUAGGGUUAAACAUUCAUAGGGGUUCUCAACCAUCUCAUUAGGCAAAUUGUACUCACAACAUGCAACAUUACAUUAUUCUCAUUACAUAUACCCUACUAUGCUUGCAACAAUGUAUAUAACAUAUACUCAAUUGAAUGACACACUAGGCAUAGAAGGAAGUUCAACGAGUUUGGAUAGCACCACCCACCUCGUAGGUUCUCAAAGGUGCUCCGACGAUUUUCUUGGGAUUUUUAGACACCCGGUUCGCUACCUGCGAGUUAACGAAGCCAAAUUAGGCUUAUUUGGCCGUAACUUUACAUCGGGUUUUCGUAACGUUAAUCCGAGCACACCAACGCGUCGGAAAUACCCCCAAUUAGGUUUCUAGAGGGUCAAUUGCACUUUAGAACCCUCGCAAGCAAAAGCCCCAAUUUUGGUGCCCUAGCUCAUAACAUACAUCAAACCUAGGGUUUGAUCUCAUUGGGAAGCAAAAGAAGCUUCAUUCUACGCUAAAGACUCCACAAAAACCAUCUUUAGUUCAAUCCAAACCCUAGUUUGGAUUCUACCAUGAGAGGGGUUGAAGCUCUCCUUCAAGCUUCACCUUCCACACCAUUCCAUGGUUUUGAUCUCAAAAUGAAGCAAAAGAUAGCUUCAAACACUCUAUAGGUUCUAUUAAAACCAUUUCUAGGUCCAUCCAAACCCUACUUUGAGCUUUACCACUAUUGGGGUUCAAAGCUUACCUUGUAAGCUUUCCUUUUCCAAGCUAGGGAAGGAGAGGAGGGGUCUUCUUCUCUUCCUUGCCUUCUUCUUCACCUUCUUCCUCUUCUUUUCCUUUCUUCUUCUUGUCUUCUUCUUCUCCUUCUUGUCUUCUAGAGAGAGAAAGAGAGAUGAGAGGGGGAGUGUGAGGGAGAGAAUGAGAUGAAAAGCCCUCAAAGCCCCCCACUUAACCAUUGGGUUGCACAAAUGCAAAUAGGCCCCUCAACUUUCACUUUAUUGAACUGCUUGAACUGGGCAGUUUUCGGGUUCGGGGACCGGUCUCCCAACUUGGGACCGGUCCCAGAGAGCUCUCCCGCAGCUCAGUGAGGGCCUUCGCACGAGGCAACCGGUCUCUCCCACAGAGACCGGUCUCUCGGGGACCGGUCUCUCCCCGCAGGGACCGGUUCCCGAGAGCUGGUUUUCUGGGACUUAGCCGAUUUGCAGCCUUUCUCAUUUCUCACGCGUUCGGGGACCGAUCUCUACCACCAGGGACCGGUCCCCGAGAGCUCAAAAACUGUAGUUUGCAGAUUUUUGAUUCUUUAGCUCUCGAAAACCUCCCACAACGCAUUUUUGAUCAUUUUAACACCUUCGGACUUUCCGAAGUGUACCACCCUCGCACUUUGGUCAAUUUGACUAAAGUUCGAUAUUUAUUUUUCAAAUUUUCGGUAUAUUACAUUCUCCACCCUUAAAAUAAUUUCGUCCGCGAAAUUACGCAUACCUUAACUCGUCGAUUCAAAUAGAUGUGGAUACUCUCUCCGCAUGAUCUCCUCGAGCUCCUAAGUGGCUUCUCGCGCCGCAUGGUUGCUCCAUUGGACCUUCACAUAUGGAAUUCUGCGACUCCGCAGCUUCCUUUCUUCUCGAUCGAGGAUGCACACCGGGUACUCCUCGUAAGACAUAUCUUCACGUAGCUCCACGGGCUCGUACUCCAAUAUAUGUGUCGAGUUUCGAAUAUACUUUCGGAGAUUUGACACAUGAAAAAUAUUGUGAACUCCUGCGAGUCUCGAUGGUAGUGCGAGCUUGUAUGCUACCGCACCCACACGCUCCAAUAUCUCAAACGGUCCGACAUAACAGGGACUUAGCUUCUCGUGGACCCCAAACCGCUUUACUCCUCGCAUCGGCGAUACUCUCAAAAAUACGCGGUCUCCAACCGCGAACUCUAAAUCUUUUCUUCUCUUGUCGGCAUAACUCUUUUGCCGAGAUUGUGCCGCCGCUAACCGUUGACGGGCAAGGCGAACUGUAAUGCAUUGGAAAAUUGACCUUGAGCUAAUUGUAAUCAAGUUGAUCACAAUGAUGUCAAAAUAGAAAUUAAGUGUUAAUGAACUUAAUUAGUAGAUUGAGAACAACAAUUGACUUAUUUUGGAACUGUGUAAGUGGGCUCGAAGUGAAUCGGAAGUGCCAAGUGUCACGCCCCGCCCCGAAACCACUACCAAUUUGGCACGGUUCGGUCGCGGCGACAGACCGCCGAACGGACAGCACCUCCCCUGUCCACCCAAGGCUCAACAACAGGAAUGUGUACAAGGAUUUACCCAGGACUUUAAAUUCUAAACAUACACAUUCAACGAGGGCACAAACAGUGCCAACAACGAGAAGAGCAAGUAAUCCACAAGAUAUAGUAUGUGAAAUAAAGAGAGUACUUUACUAACUAUUACAAUAGUUACAUUCUUUACAUUUACAUCAUUCUCCAAAAUGAAUACAUUUGAUCCUCAAAAUACAUAGCUCUCCAACCUCACCAUCAUGAAUCUCUCUCAAUACAUAGGUGUGCUAAUGCAAAAAGGGAAGCUACUAUACUACCACGGUCUCACUGAUCGGGCGCGAUGCCCUUGCCGCGGUCCUCUCUCGGCAACCCUGUACCUACCACUGGAAAUGGGAUGGGGUGAGAACUAUAUUCCAUAGAUUCCCAGUGGUCGGCCGCCGACUCUGCUGAUUCUCCCACUAGUGUCAAGUUGGGCAUCAGAGCAACAAACAGGUAGAUAGAUAGAUAGAUAUCUGAAAGUUUGUAAUAUGCAAGUUAGUAGCGAAAACUAUGCUUACAUAUGCCCAUAAUCAUGUAAUGUGGAUGCACUGCAUCUAAUAAAUAAGUUUUUACCAGGGCUAACAGAUGUCAUAUCCAUGUUCGAAUAGCUUAGUGUUCAAUGACAUUUAUUAACAACCUUAACUCUUUAUUUACCCAAUCUGUGGCGAGGCCUUAGGGCUGGCCAAUUACUCAGUCUUCAAAUCCCAAAGUGUGGGAAGUGGAGCUCCAAGUGACACCAGCCCGGGACCGUCUGGGGACUCAUUGGUCCGGACCUCCAAGUGGUCCUAGUUCGCGGUGACACUCGCGGACACUCGACGACAAUCCCUCCUAUGUGGGGAAUUGGAUGGCUAUACACCCUAACGCGACUGUGAGCCUAAUCUAUCCUCGAGUGAGGGAUACACUUGACAACUAGGUCAACACCAAGUCGCAGAUCUCUCAAGUAAUGGAGGCUCUACAACAGCUAGCGCUCACAUAAUCCAACUCGAAUCCUCUCCAAGUGAGGAAGCACUCUAUAACUAGAGUCAACAUCUCUCGCGGGAUCAUUUGUUCCCGACAUCCAUGCAAUGCUAUUUAGUUUUCUAAAUUCAUUGUUCACAAGGCAUUUUCUAAGGGAUCCACCUAUCCCUAGGUCCAUCGACCUCUAGUGUCAUUUACACUACAUUAAUGCCACUCGUCAUCAUUUAACAUUUGGAUGCCACUCGUGUGUUCUUUAACACUAAACACUACUUUCUAUGUCAUCAAUACCCCCAUCGGGUUCACCUCUUUUCUUUUACAUCAUAGGAUCCACGUUCCGACCCAAUCCUCACCUAUCUAAGUUACCAAGCGUUCCAAGUACACUAGGUUAUCAUUUAGAAAGCAUAAGGAAUGGAGCUACUAUGCAAUCCUACAAUGCAACAUGAAGAGAUGAGAUCAAAUGCAAUCUAAGACAUAGAAAGGAGUUCGAAAGCUUCGGGAUGACACCCCCCACCUUUUACCAACGUAGAGGUUUUAGAAGCGCUCCUCGACGAGCUUUACGAAAAGGCUUUUGCCUUCCCUAAUCCAAGAUAGCGCCGAAACGACCGUAAUUCGCCGAUUGUUCUAAGUCCGCUCGACGAAUCGCGAAAUCGACUUCGCCCCCGCGUUUGGGCACCUAUCGAUGAGGUUUACAAGGCCUCAAAUGAGAUCAAUCUCAUACUUUACAAAAUGCCCCCAUUUGGAGCCCUAGGUUUGCACAUAUAGCAAACCACCAAUAAAAUCCUAGAUUCUUGGGAUUGAUCUACUUAGAAGCAUGCUUGGGGUCCAUUUGACCCAUUCCAAAGCAUAAAAACCCAAAGCCCUAAGUUUACAAAGUAGGGUUUAGUAGCUUACCUCAAGAGCUACACCAAUGGGAAGAGGAGAGGGAGAUGGAGGUGCUCCAAGCCUUCCUCUUGAUCUCCUUCUUUUUCUCCUUCCUUAUCUUCUUCCUCUUUUCCUUCCUCUCCUUCUUGUUCUCCUUCUCCUUCUUUCCUUUCUAGAGAGAGAGGGAGAGAAAUAGAGAGAUGAGAGUGAGAGAGAGGAAUGAGAGAGUGUGAGGGAGAGAGAGGGCCCAGCCCACUCUAAUAAAGGCCAUUUUGCAUUUAGACCCCUCAACUUUUAACCCCUUGCGCAGCCCUCGCUGGGCAGUUUUCGUGCAGAGGGACCGGUCUCCCCGACUUGGGACCGGUCCCCGAGAGCUUCCCUCGGGCGCACGCGUUCGGGUACCGGUCUCUCCCCGGGAGACCGGUCCUCGGGAGACAGGUCCUCGCCUGAGAGACCGGUCCCCGAGAGCUCAAUUUUCAGGACUUAGCCAAAUCUCGGCAUUUCUCGCUGGAACCACGUUCGGGAACCGGUCCCUCACUGCCAGGGACCGGUUGCACCAUGCAACCCCGCACGCCCAGCCGAUGGGACCGGUCUCUCACCUCCAGAGACCGGUCCCCGAGAGCAACUUCAGCCCAAUAAUGCUGUUUGCAUCGUUAGCUCUCGUGGACUCAACUCCAAAGCACUUUUUGUGUUUUGGACAUUUUUAACUUCCCCAGAGGGUAUUCUCUCAACAAAUAGUCGAUCCUGGACGAAGUAUAACUCUCGAAUUUCGAGAAUUCACUUCCUUACAUUCUCCCCUCCUUAAAAGGAGUUUCGUCCUCGAAACGAACAAAUUCUUUAACUUUUAAUUUAAACUUAUACCUCACUCCUCAAACAGAUGAGGAUGGUGCUUUCUCAUCAGAUCCUCGAGUUCCCAGGUGGCCUCGCGAUCAUCAUGAUUGCUCCACCUGACCUUUACAUAGGGAAUUUCUCGAUUCCUCAACUUUCGCACCUCUCGGGCGAUAAUUCCUACCGGAAACUCUUCAUAGCUCAAGUCUCCUUGAAGUUCCGGCGGUUCAUAUAGCAUCGCAUGCUCCGGGUCGUGAAUAUACUUGCGGAGAUUGGAGACAUGGAACACAUUGUGCACAUCCGCAAGUUUCGGCGGUAAAGCAAGCCGAUACGCCACCGUACCAACUCGCUCCAAUAUCUCAUAUGGCCCAAUGUACCGGGGACUCAGUUUUCCCCGUACUCCAAACCGCUUCACACCACGCAUUGGUGAAACCUUCAGAAAUACGCGGUAACCCACCGCGAACUCUAUAUCUCGUCGGCGCCUAUCUGCAUAGCUUUGCUACCUCGACUGCGCCGUGAGCAAUCUCUUGCGAGCAAGGCGGACUUUCUCCUCCGCUUCUCGCAACACAUCAGGGCCGAACUCUGCCCGUUCACCUACAUCGCUCCAAUGUAUAGGAGACCGACACGUCCGCCCAUAAAGAGCUUCGAACGGUGCCAUCUCUAUACUCGCAUGAUAACUGUUAUUGUAGGCGAACUCGGCCAUAGGUAGGUGAUCACACCAACUUCCCUUAUAGUCGAUGACACACGCUCGCAACAUAUCCUCCAGAGUUUGAAUGGUUCUCUCUGUUUGCCCAUCGGUUUGAGGAUGAAAUGCGGUACUAAAAUCGAGCCGUGUGCCAAGGGCUUCUUGCAGGCUUUUCCAAAAGUGUGAAGUGAACCGGGGGUCACGAUCCGACACGAUCGAUUUCGGCACCCCAUGCAGUCUCACUAUCUCGUCAAGAUAUACCCGCGCUAACUUGUCACCCGACCACGUGGUGUGGAUCGGCAAGAAGUGAGCCGACUUCGUCAAUCGGUCCACAAUUACCCAAAUUGCAUCGUGGCCGCCCGUUGAGCGAGGCAAGCUGACCACGAAGUCCAUCGAUAUAUCUUCCCAUUUCCAAACGGGGAUUGGUAGGCUUUGAAGCUUUCCCGCUGGAAAUCUACGCUCUGCCUUCACUUGCUGGCAUGUUAAGCACUUCGCCACAAAGCGUCCAACAUCACCCUUCAUUCCCGGCCACCAAUAGUGCAUUUUUAGUCCUUGAUACAUCUUGGUGCCGCCCGGGUGAUCAGCAUACGGAGAUCUGUGUGCUUCUUGUAGAAUCAACUCGCGAAGCUCUCCAUCCUUCGGCACACACCAUCGGUUUCUAAACCGAAGCGCACCAUCGGCGUUUAUACUAAAAUCGCCGCCUCGACCAUCCUCGAUGUUUCGCCGCACCUUCUGGAGUUCUGGGUCCGCAGGUUGCAGAUCUUUAAUCCUCUCCAACAAGGUCGGUUGGACAACGAGUGCCAUCAACUGGGCUGGAAUCUCGGGAGGAACCACUUCAAGGUCCAAUCGCUUCAUAUCCAGCCACAGGGGUGUUUGCUGGGUAACAUCAAAAGCGAGAUUCUUCGCCGACUUUCUACUCAGCGCAUCCGCAACCACAUUUGCCUUCCCGGGGUGGUAGAGGAUAUCGACAUCAUAAUCCUUUAACAACUCCAACCACCGCCGCUGACGCAUAUUGAGCUCCUUCUGAGUAAACAAGUACCUUAAGCUCUUGUGGUCGGUAUAAAUCUCACAAUGGGCACCAUAUAAGUAGUGCCUCCACAGCUUCAGGGCGAAAAUUACCGCCGCCAGCUCCAAGUCGUGGAUGGGGUAAUUCUUCUCAUAGCUCUUCAGCUGACGGGAUGCAUAAGCAAUCACCUUCCUGUUUUGCAUCAAUACACACCCCAACCCAAGAUAGGAAGCAUCACUGUAGACUACGAAGUCUUCGCCUUCCACCGGUAGAGCGAGCACCGGAGUUGAAGUCAAUCUUUGCUUCAACUCUUUGAAACUUCGGUCGCACUCCUCGCUCCAAACAAACUUGGUGCCUUUCUGGGUCAGGCGGGUAAGUGGAAUUACUAUCUUGGAGAAGCCUUCCACAAACCGCCUAUAAUAGCCCGCCAAGCCCACGAAGCUUCGAACCUCCGUGACGUUCGUCGGGCGCGGCCAAUCCUUGAUUGCCUCAACUUUCCUCGGGUCUACUGAAACUCCACCCGCGGAAAUCACAUGCCCUAAGAAGGCGACUUCGCGAAGCCAGAAGUCACACUUCUUUAGCUUAGCAUAUAGCUUCUCCUCCCGAAGGACUUGAAGCAGUUUCCUCAAAUGUUCGGCAUGUUCCUCGUCACUUCGAGAAUAGACCAAUAUGUCGUCUAUAAAGACCACGACAAAUUGGUCCAGAUACUCUCUGAAGACACGGUUCAUCAAAUCCAUAAACGCCGCUGGAGCAUUCGUGAGUCCAAAUGGCAUAACCGUGAACUCGUAGUGUCCAUACCGCGUACGAAACGCGGUCCUUUGCACAUCCUCCGGUUUGAUCUUCAAUUGAUGGUAGCCGGAUUACAAGUCUAUUUUCGAGUACACACACGACCCUUGCAACUGAUCGAACAGGUCAUCGAUUCAGGGUAGUGGGUACUUGUUCUUGAUCGUGACUCUAUUCAAUUCUCGAUAAUCCACGCAGAGCCUAAACGAUCCAUCCUUCUUCCUCACGAAUAACACCGGGGCUCCCCACGGUGAUACACUCGGCCGGAUAAAUUGCUUGUCAAGGAGGUCUUGUAGUUGACUCCUCAACUCCCUUAGUUCCGCCGGCGCCAUUCGGUACGGAGCCUUCGAGAUCGGCGCGGUACCGGGAACCAAGUCUAUGACGAACUCGAUCUCCCGAUCCGGUGGUAUCCCCAGCAACUCUGCGGGAAACACAUCCGGGAACUCCCGCACUACCGAGAUCUCCUCCAACAUUGGAGUGACUCGUUCCACCUCUACAACGGUCGCCAAGAACGCUGCACAACCGUUGCUCACCAACUUUCUUGCUCUCGUCGCCGACACCGUCGCGACGAAACACGUGCUCUGGCAAGCUCGAUAGGUGAAUUCUUUCUGUCCUGGCCCACGAAACGUGAUCACCCUGCUCUUGCAGUCAAUCGUGGCGUGGUAUUUCGAGAGCCAGUCCAUACCCAGAAUAACAUCAUAAGCCUCAAGCUUCUGGAGUCCUAGUGUCCGAAUAGGCAUUAUCCAUUCGCCUAUUUGUACCGGACACGAGGCGCACUCUGUGUAGGUAUUGAAUGUCGAUCCAGGGCCCUCCACUCGCCACUUGUCACUCGCUUCUAUAUGUAUGCCAUGCAUGCGUGCGAAUGAUCUACUUAUGAAUGAAUGCGUGGCUCCUGUAUCAAAUAGAGCCCUGGAGCGAACUCCGUUAAUCAAAACCAUACCUGCCACAAGGCGAUGCUCCUCCGCCUCCGCAGGUUCCUCGGCCUGAACCUGAGCUGCAAAUACCCGUCCGCUCGGGGCCGAUCGCGCCAUCUCAGGUUGACGCGGUGUCAUCGCGCGUCCUGUCGACGCGGCCGUCGGUGGAGCUCCUCCAUAAUAUGCCGGAAUCGCCGGCGCCGAUGCAAUCGAUGGGGCAGGUGAGGCUCCUCCUCCCGGGCAGUCCCGAAUGAAGUGCCCCGGUUGCCCACACUUGUAGCACUUGCCCCGGCCUUGUUCACAGCGCGAAACUGGGUGGUCUCCGCAGCAUACAAUGCAUCGCCGCGCUCCACCGUUUUUCUGUUGAGCGCGCGGGUACUUCGGGGGUCUCUUAUAACGUGCUUGACCACCCGAACUACCGCCGCCUUGGCGUUUCUUGCCCUUAUCCUUGGACUCCGCCAAAAGCUCACGCUUCUCCCGCACGUGGGCAUCUCCGUGCUCCGCCCAUAGGGCUCGAUCAAAGACCUCAGCAAAGGUCGUGAGCUUGAGUAUUUGCACGGCCUUGUAGAUUCCCGGCCGAAGUCCUCGCAAGAACCACUCGGCCCGGUCCCGGUCAUCCUUUACAACAUCCGGGACACAAUCUAUGAUGUGGGAGAAUUCCUGUUCAUACUCCGCCACUGGGCGGUCCCCUUGCUCUAGCUUGCCGAACUUCUCCUUGAGCUUCCGCUUCAAUGUAUCGGGGAAGUAGUUGGCGAACAUCUCCCGCUUGAAUUCCUCCCACAGCAUCGGCGGAAGGCCGGGAAGCCGAUCCCACUUGACGCGCUUCCACCAAACCUUUGCCGCCCUUUCCAAGCAAUGGGUGGCGAG
RNAcentral lists this long non-coding RNA (67141 nucleotides) under Ananas comosus (pineapple). RNAcentral describes it as "long non-coding RNA (ACOM_LNC031540)". The record is from RNAcentral. Lineage: Eukaryota; Viridiplantae; Streptophyta; Magnoliopsida; Poales; Bromeliaceae.